UUGUACAUGACGGCGGCGCCGAGGCUCCUGGCCGGGUUGAUGCCGGUGCCGGUGAUGGGUAUGGUGGCCAGGUGCACGAUGAACACGGCGAAGCCGAUGGGCAGCGGCACCAGCACGGGGAUGAAGGAGUCGCGCGCGGUGCGCUUGGGGUCGGUGGCGGAGAGGACGGUGUACACCAGCACGAACGUGCCGGCGAUCUCCGCCCCGAGCCCCGCGCCGACCGAGACGCCGUCGGCCACCGUGUUUGCGCCGCCGCCGAGGGCCUCGUAGCUGGCCCCCGCGAUCCCCUUCACCAUGCCCGCGCCGCAGAUGGCGCCGAGGCACUGCGCCACGAUGUACAGCACCGUGCGCACCAGCGACAGCUUCCUCCCCACGAACAGCCCGAACGUCACCGCCGGGUUGAUGUGACCACCUGCAGCAGCACACGCUCGACAGUUUAUACUCCUACUAUAUUGUAUGCAUGUGUGGGUUAUCUUGUUGUAGAGAGAUGGUCGAUCGUAUGCAUAUAUAUGUGCGUGCAUGCGUGCCUGAGACGCCGCCGGUGCAGUAGACGAGGACGAAGAUGGUGGCGCCGAAGGCCCAGGCGACGCCGAGGUACCCCACGCCGGUGCAGGGCUGGGCGGAGGACUGGCUCUUGUAGCCGAUGACGGUGGCGAGGCUGACGUAGAGGAAGAUGAGCGUGGCCACGAACUCGGCGAUGACCGCGCGGUACAGUGACCACCGGGUCAGCUCGCUCGUGUCCAGCAGAGGUGCCGGCGGCGGGUCCCAGUACGGCGCCUUCUCCACGGCCACGUCCGCCGUGUCGCCUCCGGCGAUCACCUCCUCCUUGGACAUGGUUCGACGACCUGGUGCAAACUUUAGUAGGAGUAGCACGUACGUGUUCGUUUGUUGACGCGAGCAGAAGGGCCGAUGGCGCGAGGUUUAAAUAGGCGGCCGCUCCUGUGCUCGCACGGCGGCGAUGGGCGUACAAACCAGAUAUUUUACCAGAGGUUCUUUCCUUCCGGACCACUCCUUGCAUGUUUCAUGUUUCGCACUGAACAUUUGAUCGUGUAAAGGCCCUGUUUGUUUCAGAAGUCCCGGGACCUUUUUUAGUCUUAACUUAAAAGUCUCUAGUCCCUAUCCGUUUGUUUCCAAGGACUAAAUAGGGACUAGAGGUCAUUAAAUGACAUGUAAAAAUACCAUGUUACCCUUAGUAAUGUAGUAGUAGUUAUUAAAUGACAUGCAAAAAGUAAAGGCAUUGUUGAAAAAAGUGCCAAAAAAGUCCCAAAAAGACCCUCCCAUAGGGACUUCUCCAAAUAGUCUCAAAUACCCCCUUUUAGUCCCUGAAAGUCCUUCCUGUUUGUUUCACAUGGGACUUUUUAGGACUUUUUUUAGUCCCUAUACCAAAAAGUCCCUGGAAACAAACACCCCCUAAAUCGCUUUUGGCGCAUGAUUGACAGCGAGAGUGUAUACUCCCUCCGUUCCUAAAUGUAAGUCUUUUAAGAUAUUUCACUAGGAGUCUAUAUACGGAACAAAAUAAGUGAAUCUAUACUCUAAAGUAUGUAUAUAUACAUUCGUACGUAGUCCAUUAAUAAAACCUUUUUAAAGACUUAUAUUUAGGAACGAAGGGAGUACAUUGCAAGUGAUCGGGGAGAUGCUCAGCAUGGGCGUUUUCACAUUGAAGCACCAGGGCAGGCCGGGCACGGCCAGAGAGAUCCACGGAGGUUUCUGCAUGCUUCCUUCCAAAACGCCGGGUGAAUGUUUGCACUCUGUAAAUUUGUAAUUUGGGGUACGAUCUGCAAACUGUGAUGGUGCGUCCAAAUUUUGAUUCGAUGGCGCGGGAUUCGCUGCUUGUCGGGUAAGGGAACGGGAGGACGUGCAGCGCCGGCCCCUUAUCCGCGGCACGUGCGAGAAAAUCUCUGUCGUCCUCCGUCCGUACGUUCACCGAUUAAAUACAACCUGCCGUAGCGACAGGUCAUAUACGUACGCCGUAUUUCGUAGUCGAAGCAGAGGCGCGCCCAAGGCGGCCGUUUUCCCGGCGAGGGCGACACGGCGGCCACCGCGCGAAGAUUUUUGUUCCUCCGGCCCCGGCCUUUGUGUCGGCCUGUCUCCGUUGUGCGAGGAGGUGAAAAAAGCAAAGCAUGUUUUAGGGCAUAGCUCUCAAGAGCAACUCCAACAAAGCGACUUAAACGUACGUGCAUUUAGUUUGCUUUUUGUUUAUUUGGAUCGGCCGUCCGUUCUGCUUUCGUCUUUUUUAGGCCGUUCGUGCGUCUAACAUAGACGAACCAUUUAAUGUCCGUACGUUUAGAUAAAAAAAACGGCCAUCGAUCAUGCCAACGUUCAAGAGUUCAUGCCGGCAUCAUGCCAGCGACCGACAUACAUUAUCAGCCUACAGAAAACCACCACGCAGUCAUGCUCGCACACUUGCCAGCGACCGGCACAAUUGCGAGCACACCAAAAGGGCGGGAAUUUGAUCACGCCAUGUCCUCAUGUGCUCAUGCCGACACACUUGUCGGCAUACAAAAAAGGAACUGUGAUCUUCCUCGCAGAUCACAACUGGUCAAACUUGAGCAUUUCGGCAUGCAUCUUCUCGAACCAUAGUCUCUUUGUCGGCAACACGUUGUUCAGAUGAACCUUCAUGAUCUCCACACCCAUCUUCAUGCUUGCGAGGGCCACUUUUUUUGCCUUGGUCUUGGCAUUGGCGGCCUCGAUCUCGAGCAUCUUGACUUGCUUCGCCUUCUCCAACUCAAGCAUCUUGGCUUGCUUCUCCGCGUCCAUCUCGAGCCUCCUCCUUUGGAUUUUUAUGAAGGCGUUCAUUUGCUCUUCCUUUUCUUGUCGGCGCUUCUCCUCCCUCAAGUCCUUGCUUAUCAUGUCCUCCACUUUUUCAAGCAAGGCAAUCGACGUCAUGUCCCGCUUGUCCUCCUUCGUUGAGUUGGUCUUCCCCCGCAGCCGGGUCUUCUUGCCGUCACCAUGGUCCUCCAUGCGCCAAGAGAGCGGCAUAUUGCGCCUUGAACUUCUCCACCUCGUUGAUGAUAAUCCAACAAUGGGAGAGAUGAAAGGACUUGCUGUCGUGUUGAACCUUGAAUGCCUCCAAAGCUUGGAACACCUACAAUUCAAACCAAGCAAGCAUAUGUGGGCAAGUGGACAUGCAAUCAACGGGAAAAUGUGUGGCACCAAAAGGGAAUGAGAGGGCAUGCAUACCAUGUCUUGCAUGCCGCUCACGGGGCGUGCCUUGAUUGUUGGAAUUAUGCCCUAGAGGCAAUAAUAAAUAUAGUUAUUAUUAUAAUUCUUGUAUCAAGAUAAUCGUUUAUUAUCCAUGCUAUAAUUGUAUUGAAUGAAGACUCAUUUACAUGUGUGGAUACAUAGACAAAACACCGUCCCUAGCAAGCCUCUAGUUGGCUAGCCAGUUGAUCAAAGAUAGUCAGUGUCUUCUGAUUAUGAACAAAGUGUUGUUGCUUGAUAACUGGAUCACGUCAUUAGGAGAAUCACGUGAUGGACUAGACCCAAACUAAUAGACGUAGCAUGUUGAUCGUGUCAUUUUGUUGCUACUGUUUUCUGCAUGUCAAGUAUUUAUUCCUAUGACCAUGAGAUCAUAUAACUCAUUGACACCGGAGGAAUGCUUUGUGUGUAUCAAACGUCGCAACGUAACUGGGUGACUAUAAAGAUGCUCUACAGGUAUCUCCGAAGGUGUUAGUUGAGUUAGUAUGGAUCAAGACUGGGAUUUGUCACUCCGUGUGACGGAGAGGUAUCUCGGGGCCCACUCGGUAAUACAACAUCACACACAAGCCUUGCAAGCAAUGUAACUUAGUGUAAGUCGCGGGAUCUUGUAUUACGGAACGAGUAAAGAGACUUGCCGGUAAAUGAGAUUGAAAUAGGUAUACGGAUACUGACGAUCGAAUCUCGGGCAAGUAACAUACCGAAGGACAAAGGGAAUGACAUACGGGAUUAUAUGAAUCCUUGGCACUGAGGUUCAAACGAUAAGAUCUUCGUAGAAUAUGUAGGAUCUAAUAUGGGCAUCCAGGUCCCGCUAUUGGAUAUUGACCGAGGAGUCUCUCGGGUCAUGUCUACAUAGUUCUCGAACCCGCAGGGUCUGCACACUUAAGGUUCGACGUUGUUUUAUGCGUAUUUGAGUUAUAUGGUUGGUUACCGAAUGUUGUUCGGAGUCCCGGAUGAGAUCACGGACGUCACGAGGGUUUCCGGAAUGGUCCGGAAAUGAUGAUUGAUAUAUCGGAUGACCUCAUUUGAUUACCGGAAGGUUUUCGGAGUUACCGGGAAUGUACCGGGAAUGACGAAUGGGUUCCGGGAGUUCACCGGGGGGGCAACCCAAUCCGGGGAAGCCCAUAGGCCAUGAGGGUGGCGCACCAGCCCUUAGUGGGCUGGUGGGGCAGCCCAAAAGGGCCCUAUGCGCCUAGGAAAGAAAAUCAAAGAGAAAAAAAAAGAGGAGGUGGGAAGGGAAGGAAGGACUCCCACCCACCAAAUCAAGUCCAACUCGGUUUGGGGGGGGGGGGCGGAGCCUUCCCCCUUGGACUCGGCCGACCCCCUUGGGGCUCCUUGAGCCCCAAGGCAAGGUCCCCUCCCUCCCACCUAUAUAUACGGAGGUUUUAGGGCUGAUUUGAGACGACUUUUGCACGGCAGCCCGACCACAUACCUUCACGGUUUUUCCUCUAGAUCGCGUUUCUGCGGAGCUCGGGCGGAGCCCUGCUGAGACAAGGUCAUCACCAACCUCCGGAGCGCCUUCAUGCUGCAGGAGAACUCUUCUACCUCUCCGUCUCUCUUGUUGGAUCAAGAAGGCCGAGAUCAUCGUCGAGCUAUACGUGUGCUGAACGCGGAGGUGCCGUCCGUUCGGUACUAGAUCGUGGGACUAAUCGCGGGAUUGUUCGCGAGGCGGAUCGAGGGACGUGAGGACGUUCCACUACAUCAACCGCGUUCACUAACGCUUCUGCUGUACGGUCUACAAGGGUACGUAGAUCACUCAUCCCCUCUCGUAGAUGGACAUCACCAUGAUAGGUCUUCGUGCGCGUAGGAAAAAAUUUGUUUCCCAUGCGACGUUCCCCAACAGUGGCAUCAUGAGCUAGGUUCAUGCGUAGAUGUCUUCUCGAGUAGAAGACAAAAGUUUUUGUGGGCGGUGAUGUGCGUUUUGCUGCCCUCCUUAGUAUUUUCUUGAUUCCGCGGUAUUGUUGGAUUGAAGCGGCUUGGACCGACAUUACUCGUACGCUUACAAGAGACUGGUUUCAUCGCUACGAGUAACCCCGUUGCUCAAAGAUGACUGGCAAGUGUCGGUUUCUCCAACUUUAGUUGAAUCGGAUUUGACCGAGGAGGUCCUUGGAUGAGGUUAAAUAGCAACUCAUAUAUCUCCGUUGUGGUGUUUGCGUAAGUAAGAUGAGAUCCUACUAGAUACCCAUGGUCACCACGUAAAACAUGCAACAACAAAAUUAGAGGACGUCUAACUUGUUUUUGCAGGGUAUGCUUGUGAUGUGAUAUGGCCAACGAUGUGAUGUGAUAUAUUGGAUGUAUGAAAUGAUCAUGUUGUAAUAGAAAAUAUCGACUUGCACGUCCAUGGUACGGCAACCGGCAGGAGCCAUAGGGUUGUCUUUAUACUAACGUUUGUGCUUGCAGAUGCGUUUACUAUUUUGCUAGGAUGUAGCUUUAGUAGUAAUAGCAUGAGUAGCACGACAACCCCGAUGGCAACACGUUGAUGGAGAUCAUGGUGUGGUGCCGGUGACAAGAAGAUCGUGCCGGUGCUUUGGUGAUGAAGAUCAAGAAGCACGUGAUGAUGGCCAUAUCAUGUCACUUAUGAAUUGCAUGUGAUGUUAAUCCUUUUAUGCACCUUAUUUUUCUUAGAACGACGGUAGCAUUAUGAGGUGAUCUCUCACUAAAAUUUCAAGACGAAAUUGUGUUCUCCCCGACUGUGCACCGUUGCUACAGUUCGUCGUUUCGAGACACCACGUGAUGAUCGGGUGUGAUAGACUCAACGUUCACAUACAACGGGUGCAAAACAGUUGCGCACGCGGAACACUCGGGUUAAGCUUGACGAGCCUAGCAUGUGAAGACAUGGCCUCGGAACACAUGAGACCGAAAGGUCGAUCAUGAAUCAUAUAGAUGAUAUGAUUAGCAUAGGGAUGCUUACCACUGAAACUAUACUCAACUCACGUGAUGAUCGGACUUGAGCUAGUCUAAGUGGAUCAUGAACCACUCAAAUGACUAGAGAGAUGUACUUUUUGAGUGGGAGUUUAGCAAAUAAUUUGAUUAAGUUAAACUCUAAUUAUCUUGAACAUAGUCUAAGUCCACUUUGUAUAUAUUUGUGUUGUAGAUCAUGGCUCACGCGACAGUCACCCUGAAUUUUAAUACGUUCCUAGAGAAAGCUAAGUUGAAAGAUGAUGGAAGCAACUUUGUAGACUGGGCUCGUAAUCUUAAGCUAAUCUUACAAGCUGGGAAGAAGGAUUAUGUCCUUAAUGCUGCGCUAGGAGAUGAACCACCCGCUACGGCUGAUCAGGAUGUUAAGAACGCUUGGUUAGCACGUAAGGAGGACUACUUAGUAGUUCAAUGUGCAGUAUUGUAUGGCUUAGAACCGGGACUUCAACGUCGCUUUGAGCGUCAUGGAGCAUUUGAGAUGUUCCAGUAGUUGAAGUUUAUCUUUCAGAAGAACGCCCGGAUCGAGAGGUAUGAGACCUCCGAUAAAUUCUAUGCUUGCAAGAUGGAGGAGAACUCGUCUGUCAGUGAACAUGUGCUCAAAAUGUCUGGGUACUCAAACCGUCUAGCUGAGCUGGGGAUUGAACUCCCGCAAGAGGCUAUCACUGACAGAAUCCUUCAAUCACUGCCGCCAAGCUAUAAAGGCUUUGUGUUGAACUACAACAUGCAAGGGAUGAACAAGUCACCCGGUGAGUUGUUUGCGAUGCUGAAAGUCGCAGAGUCUGAACUCCGUAAAGAACAUCAAGUGUUGAUGGUGAAUAAGACCACUAGUUUCAAGAGAAACGGCAAAGGCAAGAAGGGUAAUUCGAAGAAGAGCGGCAAGCCUAUUGCCAAUCCGACGAAGAAACCCAAAGCUGGACCUAAGCCUGAAACGGAGUGUUACUAUUGCAAGGGUAUGGGUCACUGGAAGCGCAAUUGCCCCAAGUAUCUGGCAGAUAAGAAGGCGGCCAAAGAAAAAUCAGGUAUAAUUGAUAUACAGGUUAUUGAUGUGUACUUAACCGGCUCUCGUAGUAGUGCCUGGGUAUUCGAUACCGGUUCUGUUGCUCAUAUUUGCAACUCGAAACAGGAACUGCGGAAUAGACGAAGGCUGGCGAAAGAUGAAGUGACGAUGCGCGUAGGAAAUGGUUCCAAGGUUGAUGCAAUCGCCGUCGGCACAGUUUCACUUCAGUUACCAUCAGGAUUAGUGAUGAACUUAAAUCAUUGUUAUUUAGUGCCUGCGUUGAGCAUGAACAUUAUAUCUGGAUCUUGUUUAUUGCGAGACGGUUACUCUUUUAAGUCAGAGAAUAAUGGUUGUUAUAUUUCUAUGAGUAACAUCUUUUAUGGUCAUGCACCUAAUGUGAGAGGAUUGUUCAUAUUGAAUCUUGAUAGGGAUACGCAUAUACAUAACAUUGAGACCAAAAGAGUUAGAGUUAACAAUGAUAGCGCCAUAUUUUUGUGGCACUGCCGAUUAGGUCAUAUUGGUGUAAAGCGCAUGAAGAAACUCCAUGCUGAUGGACUUUUGGAGUCACUUGACUUUGAUUCACUUGACACGUGCGAACCAUGCCUCAUGGGCAAGAUGACUAAGACUCCGUUCUCCGGAACUAUGGAGCGUGCAAGUGACUUGUUGGAAAUCAUACAUAUCGAUGUGUGUGGCCCGAUGAGCGUAGAGGCGCGCGGCGGAUAUCGUUAUUUUCUCACCUUCACUGACGAUUUGAGUAGAUAGGGUUAUGUCUACUUGAUGAAGCACAAGUCUGAAACAUUUGAAAAGUUCAAGCAAUUUCAGAGUGAAGUGGAAAAUCAUCGUAACAAGAAGAUCAAGUUCCUAUGGUCUGAUCGUGGGGGUGAAUAUCUGAGUUUCGAGUUUGGUGCUCACUUAAGACAAUGUGGAAUUGUUUCACAGUUAACACCGCCUGGAACACCACAGCGUAAUGGUGUGUCCGAACGUCGUAAUCGUACUUUAUUAGAGAUGGUGCGAUCUAUGAUGUCUCUUACCGAUUUGCCGUUAUCAUUUUGGGGUUAUGCAUUAGAAACAGCUGCAUUCACUUUAAAUAGGGCACCAUCAAAAUCCGUUGAGACGACACCAUACGAACUGUGGUAUGGCAAAAGGCCAAAGUUGUCGUUUCUUAAAGUUUGAGGAUGUGAUGCUUAUGUCAAAAAGCUUCAGCCUGAAAAGCUGGAACCCAAAGCGGAAAGGUGCGUCUUCAUAGGUUACCCAAAAGAGACAGUUGGGUACACCUUCUAUCUCAAAUCCGAGGGCAAAGUGUUUGUUGCUAAAAACGGAGCUUUUCUCGAGAAGGAGUUUCUCUCGAGAGAAUUGAGUGGGAGGAAGAUAGAACUUGACGAGGUUGUCGAACCUCUCAUCCCUCUGGAUGGUGGCGCAGGGCAAGGGGAAACCUCUGUCAUUGCGGCGCCGGUUGCGGAGGAAGUUAAUGAUGAUGAUCAUGAAACUCCGGUUCAAGUUUCUAUCAAACCACGCAGGUCGACGAGACCACGUACUGCUCCAGAGUGGUACGGUAAUCUCGUCUUAUCAAUCAUGUUGUUAGACAACAAUGAACCUGCAAAUUAUGAAGGAGCAAUGGUGGGCCCAGAUUCCAACAAAUGGCUAGAAGCCAUGAAGUCCGAGAUAGGAUCCAUGUAUGAGAACAAAGUGUGGACUUUGGAAGUACUACCUGAGGGCCGCAAGGCUAUUCAGAACAAAUGGAUCUUUAAGAGGAAGACGGACGCUGACGGCAAUGUGACCGUUUAUAAAGCUCGACUUGUGGCAAAGGGUUUUUCACAAGUUCAAGGAGUUGACUACGAUGAGACAUUCUCACCCGUAGCGAUGCUUAAGUCCUUCAGAAUCAUGUUAGCAAUAGCUGCAUUUUUCGAUUAUGAAAUCUGGCAGAUGGAUGUCAAAACGACGUUCCUUAACGGUUUCCUUAAGGAAGAGUUGUAUAUGAUACAACCCGAAGGUUUUGUCGAUCCUAAGAAUGCUAACAAGGUGUGCAAGCUCCAGCGAUCCAUUUAUGGACUGGUGCAAGCAUCUCGGAGUUGGAACAAACGUUUUGAUGAGGUGAUCAAAGCAUUUGGGUUUAUACAAGUGGUUGGAGAAUCUUGUAUUUACAAGAAAGUGAGUGGGAGCUCUGUGGCGUUUCUAAUAUUAUAUGUGGAUGACAUAUUGCUGAUUGGAAACAACGUGGAGUUUUUGGAGAGCAUAAAGGAUUACUUGAAUAAAAGUUUCUCUAUGAAGGACCUAGGAGAAGCUGCUUACAUUCUAGGCAUUAAGAUCUAUAGGGAUAGAUCAAAACGCCUGAUAGGACUUUCACAAAGCACAUACCUUGAUAAAGUUUUGAAGAGGUUCAAAAUGGAACAGUCCAAGAAAGGGUUCUUGCCAGUUUUACAAGGUACGAAAUUGAGUAAGACUCAGUGCCCAGCAACUAAUGAAGAUAGAGAGCAUAUGCACUAGACCAGAUGUUAGCCUGGCCAUAAGUAUGGCAGGUAGGUUCCAGAGUAAUCCAGGAGUGGAUCACUGGACAGCGGUCAAGAAUAUCCUGAAGUACCUGAAAAGGACUAAGGAGAUGUUUCUCGUGUAUGGAGCUGACGAAGAGCUCGUCGUAAAAGGUUACGUCGAUGCAAGCUUUGACACAAAUCCGGACGACUCUAAGUCGCAAACCGGAUACGUAUUUAUUCUUAAUGGGGGUGCGGUAAGCUGGUGCAGUUCCAAGCAAAGCGUCGUAGCAGAUUCUACAUGUGAAGCGGAAUACAUGGCUGCCUCGGAGGCGGCUAAGGAGGGUGUCUGGAUGAAGCAGUUCAUGACGGAUCUUGGAGUGGUGCCAAGCGCACUGAAUCCAAUAACCUUGUUCUGUGACAACACGGGUGCCAUUGCCUUAGCAAUGGAACCACAGUUUCACAAGAAGACCAGACACAUCAAACGACGCUUCAACCUCAUCCGCGACUACGUCGAGGGAGAGGACGUAAAUAUAUGCAAAGUGCACAUGGAUCUGAAUGUAGCAGACCCGCUGACUAAACCUCUUCCACGGCCAAAGCAUGAUCAACACCAGAACUGUAUGGGUGUUAGAUUUAUUACAAUGUAAUUCGCAUGAUGAUGUGAGGGCUAGAUUAUUGACUCUAGUGCAAGUGGGAGACUGUUGGAAUUAUGCCCUAGAGGCAAUAAUAAAUGUAGUUAUUAUUAUAAUUCCUGUAUCAAGAUAAUAGUUUAUUAUCCAUGCUAUAAUUGUAUUGAAUGAAGACUCAUUUACAUGUGUGGAUACAUAGACGAAACACCGUCCCUAGCAUGCCUCUAGUUGGCUAGCCAGUUGAUCAAUGAUAGUCAGUGUCUUCUGAUUAUGAACAAGGUGUUGUUGCUUGAUAACUGGAUCACAUCAUUGGGAGAAUCACGUGAUGGACUAGACCCAAACUAAUAGACGUAGCAUGUUGAUCGUGUCAUUUUGUUGCUACUGUUUUCUGCGUGUCAAGUAUUUAUUCCUAUGACCAUGAGAUCAUAUAACUCACUGACACCGGAGGAAUGCUUUGUGUGUAUCAAACGUCGCAACGUAACUGGGUGACUAUAAAGAUGCUCUACAGGUAUCUCCGAAGGUGUUAGUUGAGUUAGUAUGGAUCAAGACUGGGAUUUGUCACUCCGUGUGACGGAGAGGUAUCUCGGGGCCCACUCGGUAAUACAACAUCACACACAAGCCUUGCAAGCAAUGUAACUUAGUGUAAAUUGCGGGAUCUUGUAUUACGGAACGAGUAAAGAGACUUGCCGGUAAACGAGAUUGAAAUAGGUAUGCGGAUACUGACGAUCGAAUCUCGGGCAAGUAACAUACCGAAGGACAAAGGGAAUGACAUACGGGAUUAUAUGAAUCCUUGGCACUGAGGUUCAAACGAUAAGAUCUUCGUAGAAUAUGUAGGAUCCAAUAUGGGCAUCCAGGUCCCGCUAUUGGAUAUUGACCGAGGAGUCUCUCGGGUCAUGUCUACAUAGUUCUCGAACCCGCAGGGUCUGCACACUUAAGGUUCGACGUUGUUUUAUGCGUAUUUGAGUUAUAUGGUUGGUUACCGAAUGUUGUUCGGAGUCCCGGAUGAGAUCACGGACGUCACGAGGGUUUCCGGAAUGGUCCGGAAAUGAAGAUUGAUAUAUCGGAUGACCUCAUUUGAUUACCGGAAGGUUUUCGGAGUUACCGGGAAUGUACCGGGAAUGACGAAUGGGUUCCGGGAGUUCACCGGGGGGGGGGGGGGGGAACCCCCCCCCAAGUCCAACUCGGUUUGGGGGGGGAGUCUUCCCCCUUGGACUCGGCCGACCCCCUUGGGGCUCCUUGAGCCCCAAGGCAAGGUCCCCUCCCUCCCCCCUAUAUAUACGGAGGUUUCCAAGGCAAGGUCCCCUCCCUCCCACCUAUAUAUACGGAGGUUUUAGGGCUGAUUUGAGACGACUUUUCCACGGCAGCCCGACCACAUACCUCCACGGUUUUUCCUCUAGAUCGCGUUUCUGCGGAGCUCGGGCGGAGCCCUGCUGAGACAAGGUCAUCACCAACCUCCGGAGCGCCGUCACGCUGCCAGAGAACUCUUCUACCUCUCCGUCUCUCUUGCUGGAUCAAGAAGGCCGAGAUCAUCGUCGAGCUGUACGUGUGCUGAACGCGGAGGUGCCGUCCGUUCGGUACUAGAUCGUGGGACUGAUCGCGGGAUUGUUCGCGGGGCGGAUCGAGGGACGUGAGGACGUUCCACUACAUCAACCGUGUUCACUAACGCUUCUGCUGUACGGUCUACAAGGGUACGUAGAUCACUCAUCCCCUCUCGUAGAUGGACAUCACCAUGAUAGGUCUUCGUGCGCGUAGGAAAAUUUUUGUUUCCCAUGCGACGUUCCCCAACAUUGAUGCUCUCAUAGGUGGCACAAAACUUGUUGCACUCUUGUUGAAUCACCCUGCAACGCUUCGAAAGUGACACACAUCCACGAUUGCUUUGCAUUUGGUACGGGGGAAACUUCUUGCGCUCAUGGAACUCACGAUGGACACGAGUCAAUAAGGUUGGAUACUUUUUUUGGCACCAACCUUUGGGUCUUGCUUAAUGUCCCUCCACCACUCACAAAUGAGUUUGUCCUCUUGCUCUUUCAUUUAUAUUCUUCUACAUAUUUACACGCCAAGUAGUUUGGGGCGGAGGGUAUAUUAAUAACCCCUCUUAAGAAAGAGCAUAUGUUUGCCACGACGUAGGAUAAGUGGAAAAUACAAAACCUGGAAGCGAUUUGUGUCAUCUUAUUACUUCUUCCUGCGUGGAAAAGAGAAACAAUUCUAGUUCUAGCUUCGUGCUACAACUACGAUUUGCCAAUGCAGCCCAAAACAAGCUCCCUUCCGUGUGCCAAUGCAUCCCAAAACAAUCUCUCUUGUGUCGUUGUGUGCGUGUGGAAGGAAAAGAAGCCCUACUCAGUUGGGCCCCGCUUCGCUCCCGCAGGGGCGACCCGGGUGGCUCAAACCCUAGCCCAUCGCUGAGGCUCCCUCCCUCCGUCUCCUCUCCCUUAUCACCGCUGGAGGGGCCGUCGGCACGCCGUGUGGCUGUUGAGGAUGUUGGGGGCGAGGAUCUAGUUGCUCCGCCUUUGUGGAGGAUCUCAGAGGUAAGGUGGCGACCUCGGGUGGUGGAGGGGCUACGUCGACCUCUACUUGUGGUGUCGGCAUGUGCUGCUCGUCCACCUUGAUCGUCUGGGCGGCGGGGUGACACAAAGCAACGGUUGUGGUGCGUGAUGGCCUCAGGGGCACCCUCAUCAGAUUUGGUGGCGCCAUCCUCUUCAAACUCUUGUCGCCGCUCACGGGGCGUGCCUUGAUGCUCUUAUAGGUGGCACAAAACUAGUCGCACUCUUGUUGAAUCACCCUGCAAUGCUUCGAAAGUGGCACACAUCCACGCUUGCUUUGCAUUUGGUAUGGGGAAGCUUCUUGCGCUCAUGGAACUCACGACGGACACGAGUCCAUAAGGCUGAAUACUUUUUUUUGGCACCGACCUUUGGGUCUUGCCCAAUGUCCCUCCAGCACUCACAAAGGAGCUUGUCCUCUUGCUCUUGCAUUUGUAUUCUUCUACAUAUUUACACGCCAAGUAAUUCGGGACGGAUGCUAUAUUAAUAACCCCUCUUAAGAAAGAGCAGAUGUUAGCCACGACCUAGGAUAAGUGGAAAAUACAAAACCUCGAAGCGAUUUGUGUCAUCUUAUUACUUCUUCCUGCGUGGAAAAGAGAAACGAUUCUAGUUCUAGCUUAGAACUACAACUACGAUUUGCCAAUGCAGCCCAAAACAAGCUCCCUUCUGUGUGCCAACGCAUCCCAAAACAACCUCGCUUGUGUUAGUGUGUGCGUGUGGAAGGAAAAGAAGCCCUACUCACUUGGCCCCCACUUCGCUCCUGCAGGAGCGACUCGGGCGGCUCAAACCCUAACCCAUCACCGAGGCUCCCUCCCUCCUUCUCCUCUCCCUUAUCAUCGACGGAGAGGCCGUCGGCACGCCGUGUGGUCGUUGAAGACCGUGGGGACGAGGAUCUAGUUGCUCCGCCUUUGUGGAGGAUCUUAGAGGUAAGGUGGCGACCUCGGGUGGUGGAGGAGCUACGUCGCCCUCUGCUGGCGGUGCCAGCAUGUGCUAGUCGUCCACCUCGAUCGUCUGGGCGGUGGGGUGACACAGGGCAACAGUUGUGGUGCGCGAUGGCCUCAGGGGCACCCUCAUCAGACCUGGUGGUGCCAUCCUCUUCAAACUCUUGUCGCCCUCGUCUCGGAUCCGUCCAUCGGUGGUCUCCGGGCGCCGUAGUCGUGUCUUCUCUUGAGGUGGGUGUGGGAGAAGGGACCAAAGAAAUCCAUGGUCGGCUGUGCCGGCGUGCCGGCAGCGACGCCCGAGGGCGGCGCCCCCUACAUGUAGGCGCUUGUAAGGGUGUGUUUGGUAGCAUGCAUGGACCUAGCUUAGUUGUUCUUCUCUCAUCUAUGAUGAGUGUAGACAUGUUGAGUUCAUGAAGUUGUCCUUGUUUGGCAGUGAUGUAUGCGGUGAGACAUGCUGAGCUAAGACUUUGUUUGGCAGCGUGCAUGUGUUUAGACAUGCUCAACAUUUGAAAAAUUGUGAACAUUUUUUAAAAUUUUGAACAAUUUGAAAUUCUGAUUUUUCGAAAAUUUUAUGAAAAUUUGAAAUUUUGAAUAUUUCAUAAAAACUAAAACAAAAUUUGAAAUUAUAAACAUUUUUAUGAAAAUUUAAACAAAUUUUGAAACACUAAACAUUUUUUGAAAAGUUAUGAUUUUUAAAACUGUGAACAUUUCUUAUUUUUUAAAUCUUUUUUAAUUUAAACGUAAUUUGAAAUUCUAAACAUUUUUUGAAAUUUUAAAGAAUUUUGAAAUUCUAAACAUUUCUUGAAAAAUUAAAAGUUCUGGACUUUUUUGAAAAUGGAACAAAUUUUAAAAUUUUGAAUAUGUUUUGAAAACUUAAACAGUUUUUGAAAUUAUGAAUAUUUUCUGAAAAUUUAAACAUAUCUCGACAUGGUCUCAUGGGUGGGGAUGAGGGUCACGGGCCACCAUGGCUACCCCCAUGCACCGUGUCUCGGGUGCAUGAUAUGGACAUGGGUGAGGACCCUUUUAUGCAUCAUAUGAGCAUAGCUCGGGUGAGCCCAUACACCCGACCAAACAAGCGAAAGUGGAUCGGAUUGCGAACUUUUGUCCUCAUGCACCCUCCAUGCAUCCUUCCGAACACACCCCGAAUUCCUCCUUUUUUCCUCCUCUUCCUUCCAUAUUGCUCGUGGUACCAGCUGAAAAUCAAGAUCCCUCUCGAUUGGGCGGCAUCGAGCGUGGGCGCCGUCACCUUCAAGGAGGUGCCAUCUUUGAUGAGCUUUGGAUGAAAGCGCGCUUGUUCUGUUUCUUUGGAGGGGUGUCGACGAUGAGGGCAUGCGUGCGUGCAUGUCGCGCACAAGCAAAAUGUGAACGGUUGCCCCCGAGCCAACAUCUUCCUUAGAGCAUCUCCAAUAGCCGCUUCGGGCACUCCAGCGGAGGCGCAAAAAAACACGCGUGCGGCAUAAACGGUUCAACGCGCGAGACGAAGCGACAUCGUUGCUACUUCUUGAGCUUGCGUUGGUUUUCCCUUGAAGAGGAAAGGGUGAUGCAGCAAAGUAGAGAUAACUAUUUCCCUCAGUUUGAGAACCAAGGUAUCAAUCCAGUAGGAGUAUCAAGAUGAGGCACCAAUGAACCUGCGCAAAAACAAACAAACUUGCACCCAACGCGAUAAAGGGGUUGUCAAUCCCUUCACGAUUACUUGCAAGGUGAGAUCUGAUCGUGGUGAAAGGUAAAAAGAUAAAAGUGCAGCAAGGUAUUUUUGGUAUUUUUGUAUGUAGAUCUGAAUAUAUAAUGUGUAAAAUAGACCCGGGAGCCAUAGUGUUCACUAGAGGCUUCUCUCAUGAUAGCAAGUAUUACGGUGGGUGAACGAAUUACUGUCGAGCAAUUGAUAGAAUCGCGCAAAGUCAUGAUGAUAUCUAAGGCAAUGAUCAUACAUAUAGGCAUCAUGUCCGAGACAAGUAGACCGAUACUUUUUGCAUCUACUACUAUUACUCCACACAUAGACCGCUAUCCAGCAUGCAUCUAGUGUAUUACGUUCAUAACAAACAGAGUAACGCCUUAAGCAAGAUGACAUGAUGUAGAGGGAUAAAUUCAUGCAAUAUGACAUAAACCCCAUCUUUUUACCCUUGAUGGCAGCAACACGAUGCGUGCCUCGCUACCCCUUCUGUCACUAGGUGAGGACACCGCACGGUAUGAACCCAAAACCAAGCACUUCUCCCAUUGCAAGAAUUAUAGAUCAAGUUGGCCAAACGAAACCCAUAACUCGAAGAGAAUUACAAGGAUACGAAAUCAUGCAUAUAAGAAAUCAGAGAAGACUCAAAUAAUAUUCAUAGAUAAUCUGAUCAUAAAUCCACAAUUCAUCUGAUCUCGACAAACACAUCGCCAAAGAAAGUUACAUCCGAUAGAUCUCAAUGAAGAUCAUGGAGAACUUUGUAUUGAAGAUCCAAGAGAGAGAAGAAGCCAUCUAGCUACUAGCUAUGGACCCGAAGGUCUAUGGUGAACUACUCACGCAUCAUCGGGGAGGCAAUGGUGUUGAUGAAGAAGGCCUCCAUGUCCGAAUCCCCCUCCGGCAGGGCACCAGAACGAUCCCCAGAUGGGAUCUCGCGGAGACAGAAGCUUGCGGCGGCGAAAAAGUAUUUUCGUGGCUCUCUUUGUUGGUUUCGUGAUUUUUGGGAAUUUAUAGGCGAAAGAGGUAGGGCAAAGGAGGCAAGGGGGGCCCACGAGCCUGGUAGGCGCCCCCCCCGGAUCGCGCCUAGGGGGCUCGUGACCUCCCAUGGGACCUCGUGCCUUGGUUCUCAAGUCUUCUGGGUAUCUUCUAUUAUGGAAAAAUCAUCUCACAGGUUUUAUUCCGUUUGGACUCCGUUUAAUAUUCUUUUCUGAAAAAGGUCAAAAACACGGGAAAAAACAGAAACUGGCACUAGGCACUGAGUUAAUAGGUUAGUCCCAAAAAAUGAUAUAAAAUGGCAUAUAAAUGCAUAUAAGACAUCCCAAGUUGGUAAUAUAAUAGCAUGGAACAAUCAAAAAUUAUAGAUACGUUGGAGACGUAUCAAGCAUCCCCAAGCUUAACUCGUGCUCGUCCUCGAGUAGGGAAGUGAUAAAGACCGAAUUUUUGAUGUGGAAUGCUACCUAACAUAUUUGUUCUUUGUAACUUCUUUAUUGUGGCAUGAAUGUUCAGAUCCAUAAGAUUCAAAACAAUAGUUUAAUAUUGACAUGAAAACAAUAAUACUUCAAGCAUACUAGCAAAGUAAUCGUGAACUUUUGAAAUAACAAGGCCAAAGAAAGUUAUCUCUACAAAAUCAUAUAGUCUCGCAAUGCUCCAUCAUACCCACACAACGAAUUUAAAUCAUGCACAACCCCGGUAUUGUCCAAGUAAUUGUUUUCGCACUCUUACUUUCUCAACUUUUUCAACUCUCACGCAAUACAUGAGCGUGAGCCAUGGAUAUAGCGCUAUAGGUGGAAUAGAGUGUGGCGGAGGUUGUGAGGCAAAAAGGAGGAGGUGGUAACAUCGACUCGGUGUAUCAAUGGGUUAUGGAGAUGCCCAUCAAUAGAUAUAAAUGUGAAUGAGUAGGGAUUUCCAUGCAACGGAUGCACUAGAGCUAUAAGUGUAUGAAAGCUCAAAAAGAAAACUAGUGGGUGUGCACCCAACUUGCUUGCUUACGAAGACCUAGGGCAAUUGAGGAAGCCCAUCAUUGGAAUAUACAAGCCAAGUUAUAUAAUGAAAAUUCCCACUAGUAUAUGAAAGUGACAAAACAAGAGACUCUCUAUCAUGAAGAACAUGGUGCUACUUUUGAAGCACAAGUGUGGAAAAAGAUAGUAGCAUUGUCCCUUCUCUCUUUUUCUCUCAUCAUUUUUUUGUUUGGGCUCUUUGGCCUCUCUUUUUUCAUUUCAUUUUUUUUUCUUUUUUUUGGGCAUAUUUGGCCUCCUUUUUUUUAUUUCCUCAUAUGGGACAAUGCUCUAAUAAUGAUGAUCAUCACACUUUUAUUUACUUACAACUCAAUACUUAGAACAAUAAUUACUCUAUAUGAAAUGCCUCCGGCAGUGUACCGGGAUGUGCAACGAUCUAGCUUAGCGUAUGACGUUGACACAUCCCGCUAGCUAUCUUACGAUGAUGCAAUGGCAAAAUGAAAAUGACGGCACAUGUCAUGAGACAGAACGAUGGAAGUUGCAUGGCAAUAUAUCUCGGAAUGGCUAUGAAAAUGCCAUAAUAGGUAGGUAUGGUGGCUGUUUUCAGGAAGGUAUAUGGUGGGUUUGAGCACCGGCGAAAGUUGCGCGGCCCUAGAGAGGCUAGCAAUGGUGGAAGGUGAGAGUGCAUCUAUACCAUGGGCUCACAUUAGUCAUGAAGAACUCAUAUACUUACUGCGAAAGUUUUAUUAGUAAUCGAAACAAAGUGCUAAAUGCAUACUCCUAGGGGAAGGGUUGGUAUGUGUUAACCAUCGCGCGAUCCCGACCGCCACACAAAUGAUGACAAUCAAUAAAUCAGUUAUGCUACGACUUCCUAACAUAGCGGUUCACCGUACGUGCAUGCUACGGGAAUCACUAACCUCAACACAAGUAUUUCUAGAUUCACAACACCCUACUAACAUAACUCUAACAUUACCAUAUCCAUAUCUCAAAACUAAUUGUGAGGAAUCAAACUUCUCUUACUAAUCAAUGCACUUGAAUAUGAAAGUUUUUAUUAUAUCCUCUUUGGAUGCCUAUCAUAUUUAGGACUAAUUUCAUAACACAUGCCAAUUACCAAGUUACUUAGAGAGAGCGCUCCCAAAAUGAUAUAAGUGAAGAUCGAGAGUUUUUAUUUCUACAAAAUAUGACAUCGUCGUGCUCUAAAAAGAUUUAAGUGAAGCACUAGAGCAAAAUUAUCUAGCUCAAAAUAUAUAUAUGAAGCUCAUGGCAGCUAAAUUUCCUAGCUCAAAAGAUAUAAGUGAACCUCAUUGAGUAUUCUAACAAAUUCACGAUGAGUGCAUGUCCCUCUCAAAAAGGUGUGAAACAAGGAUGAUUGUGAUGAAACAAAAAGCAAAGACUCCUAUAAUACACNNNNNNNNNNNNNNNNNNNNNNNNNNNNNAGACUCCUAUAAUACACGACGCUCCAAGCAAAACACAUAUCAUGUGGUAAAUAAAAAUAUAGCUCCAAGUAACGUUACCGAUGGAUUGAAGACGAAAUAGGGGAUGCCAUGGUGUCCUAGAAUUUGGCUUGUGAUGUCUUUGGCAGCCCCAAGCUUAGGCUCUGUCCACUCUUUAUUCCAUUGUCCAUAAGAACAUCAUCCAAAACUUGAAAACUUCACAACACAAAACUUAAACAGAAACUCGUGAUAUCAUUAACACACUACAAGAAAUAUGCUCAUACAUGAUGUUUUUUAAGACGUCGUUGAUGAAUUCGUCAUAAAUCUAUGACGAAUUCAUCCGAGAUUGUCGUAAACCGUUUGAGGGGAUCAAAUCUACAUAUAAAUUACGACGAUGUGAGUCAAAAACGUCGUAACGCAUAAGAUGAGAUCGUCAUAACUUUUACGACGAUUAUAAAAAUGUCGUAACAUGUUCUAACUAUGUUGACAUGUCACUCGUGGGUCCAUUAUAUUCCACCUCAUCCAUGUAUUGAACUGUUUUUUAUACCACUUUUUUGUUGGGCUAUUUUUCAUCAUACUUUUAUAUUGGGCUGGUAAUUUAUCCUCCAUGCUUGCUAAUGGGUUGGUUUGUGGUAUGUCAUAAUAUUUUAUAUUAUACAUAAUAUAUUGUCUAAUAUUUUUAAAAUGAGUUGCUACAUUUUUACAACAAAGAUUUGGUAGGUUCUUUACAAAAAACCUAUUUUCUGGCACUUUGAAAAUAGAAAAUGAUUUUUUUUUGCAAACAAAAUGUAAAAUCUCUUUGACAACGUUGUUUGUCAUACCAACACACACACACAUGUGGACAAUAUUGGGUCAUUGUAACAAACUAUAAGAGGAUAAAAUAUAAGAGAAACAAACAAACAACAAAAAAUUUAUAUAAGCUUAAUUCUGAUUGGUGGAAUGUGCUAUGGUCUAAAGAAUAUGAAAUUGGACAUGGUAUUGGUUCAUCAUUUUUAGAAGGUGUGAAAAAAUAUUUGAGAAAUUUGCUAAAUAUUAACAUGUUUAUUUUAUCAAAAGUAAUAGGUAAACAAACACAAUUUUGUUUGCUCAUUUCCUAUUAGCUAAAACCUCCUUUCCUCGGAUCGAUGACGUGGCAGGGCAGUCAGCCCCACUUUAGCUGAUCUGAGCCGUUAAAGCCAACAGAUCAAACGUCUCUCAAUGAAUCCAAACGCUGCGGGCAAAAAAAAACUGCGCAAACCCUACCCUCGUCCCACCCAGACCGAUCCACCCCUCCCAUCGUCUCGUCUCUCCAGAUCCGAUCCACCCCGCCUCCAUCUCCCACCGACCGCCGCCACCCCACCCACCUCUCAUGGAUGGAACAAGCCCCGCUGGCGAGCGACCCCAACACCGGUGGCGGCUGCCGGCGCCACCUCCCUCUCCUCACUGGCCGGAGAUCCACCUCCCGAUUCCACCUUCUCCCGACGAACCCCCUGCCCAGGGGCGGCCUACCGCGAUGGUGAGGGAGCUGCGCAUCAACACCGCGCAUGGAAAUCAGAAUCAAGUUGUGAAAUUACGCCACCGGCGGAUCAAAAUUGGAGCAUUCCUUCCCCAUUCCCCACCCCCGAUCUCGGCCCUAGCCGCCGCCGCCGCCUCCAGCCUCCCGCCCGCCGUCUCCGCCGCGCGGGCCAACCUCCCCGCCCCCGGAGUCUCCCGCGCCCGCGGCGGGGGCCCGCCGGCGGCGGGGAUGGACAAAGUGAUAGCGACGGUGAGCGGCUACCACGGCGACGAUCGGCACAGGGUCGUGAAGCUCAUCUCGGAGGCCGGCGCCAGCUACGUCGGUGCCAUGAGCAGAUCCAUAACCCACCUGGUAAUCUCUUCGCGCUCGUCAUCGACCCCAGUCUCCGCUGCACCCGCUGAUUCGCGUUGCCUUGUUUGAGCCGUGGUUAGGUUUGCUGGAGGCUCGAGGGGAAGAAGUAUGACAUCGUGAGGCGGCUCCGGGUCCGCAUCGUCAGCCACUGCUGGUUCCUCGACUGCCUCCGGCAGGGGAGGCGCCUCCCCGAGGGCCCCUACGCCAUGGAAAGGUAGCUUUUUUAUCGUCGUGCAGUUAUACAUGUAGUGGUGCAUGGUGAAUUGCUUCUGCUGUGUAAGUGGAUGGAUUAGUUAGAAGGGAUGAUUCUACAAGUGAAUGCGAAAGAAAAUCGGGGCCAGGAAUUGUUUUCACGGCUUGUUUCUGAUUUCCAUGCGCAUGUUUGCAGCAACAGUUUAAUUUGCUGUCACAGAGCGAUGCACAUCUUUGACCCCACCGGCUCUGGCUAUAACUCCACGUUAACAUGAUCUAAACGUGCAAAACCACUAUGUGUGUCUUUGAUGUAGAUACUUACAGUUCUUUAGGCGUUGCUUAGUUGAUGCCUUGUAAUAGACUAGCCAAAGUAGCAUGGUUCCUUUUUCUUACUAGCGAAUGCGGAAAUUGUGCUAACACCUAUCUUCACAACUGAAUGUUUGCAAGUGCUGAGGAGAUGGUGGAACAAGGCGUGGAGGCGCUGCGAGCUCAAGAGCCCAUAGCUGCAGAUGUUGGAGGUCGGGCUGGAGAUAGCACUGAUUGAGGUUGUGCUGCCCCUCGCCAGUUAACUAUAGGUUGGUCAAUAGUAGGGUGCUUCUGGCUCUUAUUGGCCUGUAACAUGGUCAUCUAUUAUUAACCUGGAUUAAUCUCGUCUGCCUUGAUUUAACAAUGAUAUGCGUGUUUGUCUGUCAUCAAGCAUUUAGAAUGGAACUAGUGAGGUAUUAUUUGGAAAUCUAGGAUAAAUGCCAAGGACCUAGUUGUUAUUUUGGCUCUGAAUCGAAUGGUUGAUGUUGCGUUAGGCAAAACUAGGCGUGACACAGUUUUAUUUCUUCCUACUCAAAAGUAAAAAGUGAAUUUGGUGGAUCUAGUAUGGGAGAUUAUUCUUUGAAUUUGCAUAUCUUUUGUGAAAUAUGUCAUAUGCAAACAUCUCACCGCGUUUCUCCUGGUUCUCUUUAACUUUAAUUGUUUCUUUUCACGCUUAAAAAGGUUUAUUUUCCUUUUAUAAGUUUGCUGUGUAUCAGAACAUGUUUGUGGACUUUAACUACUGUAUUCCAGAUUAUGCUACCAACCAAAAUCAAAUAAUUAAUUCAAAUACUCCAGUGUUAGUUGCGAUUACAGUGCAACAAAACAAACAACAUCAACAACAUGAAUCUUGAUGCAGUUUAGAUGGUUUAUCAUGUGCAGAUAGCCAAAUACAUGCAGGCUGUGGCGCCCAUCAGAAAAUAAUGAUGAUAGUGCUACUGUGACUUUUAGUGUUUCUGUGUGGAUUCUUGGUGUGGUUGUGGCUUCUUUUCUUGCUUGUUGAGCUCUCUGUUCCUGCUUACCUACUUGUGGUUGGCGCCUUGGCUGGUGCAGCAGCACAACACCAUACCAACUAGAAAAACUGCUUUGUGUUUUAGCUGAUUCUCGGCAAGUUCGGUCUCUGAAUUGCUAAGUGGUAGUAUGGUGACUGAUAUUUUUUCCUGCUCUUAGUUUCUCUCAAGUCAAGUCUAGUCCAGUUAGGCUUUUUUUACUCUUGAUAGGUACUACUAAUUUGGACUGGUGUUUUCCUGAAAUUAUAUGUUGGUUUCAUCAGCUGAGUGGAAAUGCUUCUGUUUCUUUUUGUAUGCAGGUGGUACCUCAGAAAGAAGACUGAGGGAUUGUGUGUUAAGGAAGUACGGUGAUCUGAACUUUGUUCUCCCAGGUAGAUGCAUGCUUUCAAUUCUGUUGGAUACAUUCCUUCCUUUUGAUUUACUUCACUUGCAGUAGAAUUCUUCCACUUUUCUCUUGUAAUUUUCUGAAUGAAUUUGCAGUUAUUCUUGCCUAGUCCACUCAUAUCACACUUCUGCCUAAUUCAGUACAGUUCCACUUGCGCGUCGUGCCUAAUUAUGCUAUUUGCUACUGUGAUUUGAAUUUAGGAGCAAGAUGAAAUCGUUUUCUGACAAUAGUAGGCAGGAUUUACUGACAGUUUCCAAUCCUCUAUUUCUUCAGUUCGACACACUCAAGACAGAACUUGAACCUUCCCAAGCGUCGACAGUGGUACCCUUCUGAUGAUAGACUGCAUUUGCAUGUGAAGAGGAUCGGAUGACCACGUUCUUCUCCACUUCAAACUAUCAGAGGGGCCUUGCCGCAUCAACCUAAAAAUUUCUUUCUCUAAUUUCUGAAGCAUAGCAUCAACCUAAAAAUGCAGCAAAACAGAAUGUAAACAUUAGCCCUUUAGUAUAACAUGAUUAGAGCUCCGAAACACAUGGGUUUUGUUUUGGCAUGCUUGUUUACUUUUUCUUGUUAUCUUCAGUUAUCUACUACUCAAUUAUGCGCAGCAACACAAGAGGUUGUUUCAAAGCUAGGUCAGAACUUAGAACAGUUCCUGUCAUAAUUCAAAUGAUACCUCUGUGCCAUUCGGUACGAGGCCAGAAAGUGCAGACAAGAAAAUUGAAGGUAGCGAUCAGUAGUAUAUCUGAAGUAAAUUUUAUCUCUUCUCCACAAAGCACAAAAUAAUCCAACCACGUUUGCUUCUCUAGUAGUUCGCCGGAGAUGCUUUUGUGGGGCAAAGGGUGUGACACGUGUGGGGUUGUAGUCACCUAUUCAUAUCCUUGUAAAUAAAUUUUCUCAGUAUAAAUUCAGAUUUUCCUGCUGCUGAUGUGCCCUACUUCUCUCAGUCUAUUUUCCCACGAUUUUCCUGCUGUUGCUGGUGUCCUACUUUAGAUUUUCAUGCUGCUGCUGGUGUCCUACUUCUCUCAAAUUUUCUCAGUAUCAUUCAUAUAGGAUCACAGCCUACUGCUCCUACUUCUCUCAGUCACAUUUGUUUUUUGUACAAUGAGGCUAAGAGCAGCAGGAAAACAUCAUUUUUUUCAGAUAAUUAUUGCUUCAGUAUAUUUACUUGGACCGCUUAAUUAUAUUUUGUUGGGAAAAACACCACAAACAUGUUUUUUUGAAAGACACAAACAUGUCUUCAUUGUUGACCUUCUAAAUAGCACACUACCAAUUUCUAGUUGUUGAUUUGGCUAGCUGUGAGUGAGAUUUAUCAUAUAUAUCCUCUAGGUUCAGUUUUGAGUACAAAUUAAACGCUCAUGCUUGUUAGUACAACAGUGCAAGUCUGAUUAAUUAACUAUUUGAGAGAUGCAUGCUAGGGGCAUAUAUGAUUCUACACUUCUAAAACUUUUUAGUCCCUUGCAUACUUUUGGCUAGCUCAUGUCACACUGCAAGCAAUUCAAUAAUGUGAUAUCUGAAACUACUUUACCAUCUCUUACAGGCAAGGUGCAUGGAGGUAGGCUCAGCUUCGGCGUCUUCCAUUGGACUGCCCCGUUGCUGCCGGUGACGCUGUUUGGCAUCGGCAUGGUGAGCUCCUCUCCCCCUCUGCUCCAUGCCUCUUGUCCCCGGUUGCUCUGAUGAUCCUCAUGGCCUUCGAGCCACGGUCAUGGUGUGGGUCUAUGGCCAUCGUUCCAUGGCUGUCUUGUUAGGCUGCUAGAGUCCUUUCAUAAUCAUCAUGCCACUGUUUGCUUUUAAAGUUUGCUCAUUUCUCUGUUUACCAUGCUAGCUAACACUAGCCUACCUGAUGCAAACUUGCUGAAUAUAUGUAUGGGUAGUUCCUGGUGGUCACUUAUUAUCCAAGGGAGUAGUUUUGGUACUUAACGAAUGGUGUUUCAGCUAGCUUGCACCUCAUCUAGCUACUCACUGUUAUUGUUACACCUGAGAUGAUAUUUUGUUCUUCGAAAGACGUUUUACAAUUUAGCAUUGCCAUCUAGUUCCUGCGCCUCAACAAUACAUUACUUUGUUUGUAUGCAGGUAUACUAGAGCCCAUAAAAGCUGGUAUCAGGGAUGCAAAACUAGGAGUGGGGAAGCAAGAUCCGGAUGACUUCUUCACAGCGAGUGCUAAUUUCUGUAUUUUCUUUUGAGAUUCUUUUGGGUUGAUGCUUCAGUUGUGAAAACUGGUAUCUGAUUGUCAACUGUGAAUCAGAUGAGUUAUUGUAUUAUGUAAACCUGGAGAUGUAUUAUGUGAUGUUAUAUGAUGAUUUUAAUUCGACUUGGAGUUUUCUUGAUUUGAACAUGAAAUAGUGCUGCAUUUAAUAUUGGACAAAUAAUUGGUUUAAAAGGCCCAAUAAAUAGAAAUGAAAUCAAGUUCUGAAAAAAAAGUUGCUGAAUUCAAAAAUGAAAAAAGGCCAAAACUGAAACUGGACCAAAUGUAUUUGGACACUAAAAGGCCAGGGCCCAAAAAAAUUCAAAAAAGACAAACUAAAAGUGGCUAUAAAUGGGCUAAGGCCCAAAAAGAAGCCCAAAAAAUAAAACCAGCCCAUGUGAUCAAUUGAAAUGGGUUGGGCUGAUUUCAAUUAUGAUGUUUUGAUUUCGUCGUAAUUUUGCCACGUAGGACUGCCAUGUAGGACUGGGUUAGAUUGUCAACGACGAUUUAGGAUCGUCGUAAAGGUUACGGCGAUCCAUGAAUCGUCGUAGAAGUUACGACGAUUUUGAUCAAAACGUCGCUCGUGUUCAUUUGUGACGCUCCAUUUUCGACGCUUGGUUUUUCGUCGUGAGAUCGUCGUAAACUAGAAACUGUGACGAUGUAGCGACGAAAAUAUAUCGUCGUGUAUUAGCAUAUUCCUUGUAGUGAUAGGAAAACAAAUCACCAACUUCUUAGGCACUGUAGUAAACUUAAUUUCCAUUUAGAUUGAUGUUAUAUUACUGUAUUCUCACAUCUCUAUGGCUCGUACCCCCCGAUACUAACCAUAGUUUCAUCAAAAUAAGUAAUCAACACAACAAAAACAGAUACUAUCAAAAAUAGAACAGUGUGUAGCAAUCUGUAUAUUUCGUAUAUCUCUGCUAUCCCAAUUUUUUUGAAACAUUAUGACAAUUAGUGCAAUUUGCAUAUCAAUCAGCAGCAAAAAGAAUCAACUCAAAAGCUCUUUCUGGAUAGGAAUUAAAAAUAAUUUCGUAAGCACAAAGUUUCUGUCUUUUUCAGCAUGAUUAAACAACUAUCACCAAAACUAAUCAUAAAGGUUCUACUUGGCUCAGACACUAAUUAAAACAUUAAAAACACAAUCAUAACAGAAUCAUGAUGGUGUGGCCUCAACAAAACAGGAAGUGAAAAUCAAAAAUAAAUUUAUUCAUUGGGUUGCCUCCCAACAAGCGCUGUCGUUUAACGUCCUUAGCUAGGCAUAAGGCAAUAGAAUCAAGUAUCGUCAUCUUUAGUGCUCAAACCACUCAUAGGGUGAACACUCAACAUUUUAAGAUCUUCAUCUCUCUUACUAGAUGGUUCACCAUUGUUUUUAGGAACGUAAACAAGCUUAGUGGCCUUAUUGUGGGCAAAAUUUGGAGUGUUCUGAACGGCAACAAAAGCGGAACCCAAGUUGGUUAUCACAUCCUCUAGUUUGCCAAUUCUAGCGGAAUCAUGAUCUAGUUUUUCGUUAACUAUGGGUUCCUUCUUCUUUAAAUUUUUUAAAGUCAUUCCCACCUUGGAUCCAUAUUGAGUGAUUUGAUUGUGGAUAUUUUUAUCCAAAUUUUCAAUGAGUUCUAUCGUAGCAACUUUAUUUUCAAUACUAUCCAGCCUACGCAUCACAUAUUCCAAAGUUAAUGUAGUUCCAUUAACCAUGAGUGGGGGUGAGCCUACCAAAUUUAUUAAAGCAUCAUAAGAAUCAAUGGUAUGGCUACCCAAGAAAUUUCCGCCAACGAUGGUGUCAAGAACAUACCAAUUCCAAGGGAAAUACCCACAUAAAAAUUGCGAAGUAGAACGGUAGUAGAUUUCUUACGAGUAGAUCUAUUCUGAGAAUUGCAAAAUCUAUACCAAGCAUCUUUUAAGUUUUCUCCCUCAUUUUGUUUAAAAUUAAGAACUUCCCUCUCAGGAGUAACGAUCAUAGCGAUAGGGCUAUCCAUAAGUAUAAGUAGACUAACCCACACAAGCAAACAGAAAGCAAGCAAAAGAAAGGGCGAAUGAAAAAGACAAAUAUUUUUGUAAAUCUUGUUUUUUAGAAGUGGGGGAGAGGAAAACGAGAGGCAAAUGGCAAAUAAUGUAAAUGUAAGAGAUGAGUUUGCGAUAGGUACUUGGUAGAUAUGCUUCACUUGAAUACUUCCCGGCAACGGCGACAGAAAUUAUUCUUGCUACUUCUUGAGCUUGCGUUGGUUUUUCCCUUGAAGAGGAAAGGGUGAUGCCGCAAAGUAGAGAUAAGUAUUUCCCUCAGUUUGAGAACCAAGGUAUCAAUCCGGCGGAAGGGUAUCUCAAGAUCCUGCACAAACACAAAGAGCUUGCACCUAACGCUAUAAAGGGGUUGUCAAUCCCUUCACGAUUACUUGCAAGGUGAGAUCUGCUAGUAAUGAAAGGUAAAUAGAUAAAAGUGCAGCAAGGUAUUUUUGGUAUUUUUGUAUGUAGAUCUGAAUAUAUAAUGUGUAAAAUAGACCCGCGGGCCAUAGUGUUCACUAGAGGUUUCUCUCAUGAUAGCAAGUAUUACGGUGGGUGAACGAAUUACUGUCAAGCAAUUGAUAGAAUCGCGCAAAGUCAUGAUGAUAUCUAAGGCAAUGAUCAUACAUAUAGGCAUCACGUCCGAUACAAGUAGACCGAUACUUUCUGCAUCUACUACUAUUACUCCACACAUCGACCGCUAUCCAGCAUGCAUCUAGUGUAUUAAGUUCAUAACAAACAGAGUAACGCCUUAAACAAGAUGACAUGAUGUAGAGGGAUAAAUUCAUGCAAUAUGACAUAAACCCCAUCUUUUUACCCUUGAUGGCAACAACACGAUGCGUGCCUCGCUACCCCUUCAGUCACUAGGUGAGGACACCGCCCGAUAUGAACCCAAAACCAAGCACUUCUCCCAUUACAAGAAUUAUAGAUCAAGUUGGCCAAACGAAACCCAUAACUCGAUGAGAAUUACAAGGAUACGAAAUCAUGCAUAUAAGAAAUCAGAGGAGACUCAGAUAGUAUUCAUAGAUAAUCUUAUCAUAAAUCCACAAUUCAUCGGAUCUCGACAAAUACACCGCAAAAGAAAGUUAUAGCAGAUAGAUCUCCAUGAAGAUCAUGGAGAACUUUAUAUUGAAGAUCCAAGAGAGAGAAGAAGCCAUCUAGCUACUAGCUAUGGACCCGAAGGACUGUGGUGAACUACUCACGCAUGAUCGGAGAGGCAAUGGUGUUGAUGAAGAAGCCCUCCGUGUCUGAAUGCCCCUCCGGCAGGGCACCAGAAUGGUCCCCAGAUGGGAUCUUGCGGAGACAGAAGCUUGCGGCGGCAGAAAAGUAUUUUCGUGGCUCUCUCUAUUGGUUUCGGGAUUUUUGGGAAUUUAUAGGCGAAAGAGGUAGAGCAAAGGAGGCAAGGGGGGCCCACGAGCCUGCUAGGCGCCCCGUGGGGCGCGCCUAGGGGGCUCGUGACCUCUCACGAGACCUCAUGCCUUGGUUCUCAAGUCUUCUGGGUAUCUUCUGUUAUGGAAAAAAAUCAUCCCGCAGGUUUAAUUCCGUUUGGACUCCGUUGAAUAUUCUUUUCUGAAAAAGGUCAAAAACACGGAAAAAACAGAAACUGGCACUAGGCACUGAGUUAAUAUAUUAGUCCCAAAAAAUGAUAUAAAAUGGCAUAUAAAUGCAUAUAAGACAUCCCAAGUUGAUAAUAUAAUAGCAUGGAACAAUAAAAAAUUAUAGAUACGUUGGAGAUGUAUCAAUCGCGCGCCCCAUAUUUCGUGCGCCCGCUACUGCGUGAUGCACAGUCGAGCGCUCGUGUUGCCACUCCUCUCUCACCCCGCACCAUCGCGCCUUCAUCCCACUCGCACCGCCGCCGUCGAAACCGCUCGAUGGACAGCCACGCUGACAUCCCCCUCACCCCCUGCUACGCUCGUGAUCCCUUCGCCGCAGCAAACCCUAGCCUGACAAGCUUUGGGCUCGUCUUCGUUGGAGCUCCUCCGAGCACCGGUCUCGCGCCCAGCCUUUUCAUGGCGCCACGGACGACCUCGGCACGUGCUGGCGCGUCGGCGCCCGCCGUGACAUGUGUCCCCCUCUCGAAGCUUCCAAUUGCGCCAACGGUGAAGAAGAUCGGUAAGAAGGUGUCCGAAAAUAAGAACAUGGCGGCGGAUGGCUCCACUAGGCCGCGAAAGAAGAAACUUGCACGUCGUGCAACACAUGCGUCGGCGACCAAAGCGUCGGCGAGCUCGUUUGUACCGCUGACGGCCAAUGCGCACAACGUGUUCGAUGGAAUGCCCACAAGGUAUGUCUUCACCCAUUGUUGUUUUUUACAUGAAUAGAUACAUAUGGAUAGCUUAUAUUUGUUUGUUGUAUAUACUUUGUAGUUUCAAUGAUGAGACAUACAUGACUACUAUGGGUGUUGGCUCCAACAAUUCCCAUUGGGCUCAAACCAAUGGUGUGAAUUUGGAUGAUCAUGAGUUUGAGGUGGACGAGGAUGGUGAGGGUAUCGUCGAUGCACAGAAAGGAAGANNNNNNNNNNNNNNNNNNNNNNNNNNNNNNAAGAGCGGGCAACUACACCACGGAUGAAGACGUCUUGCUAUGCAAUACAUGGUUGAAAGUGUCUAGGAAUGCCACGGUUGGAGGGAAUCAAAGUAGAGAUGCAUAUUGGAUCCGGAUGAGGGAGCACUUUGAUUUAUACAACAAAAGUGAAAUUGACUGCACAGAAAGAUCUUUUCGCUCCCGGUGGUCGACAAUCAUGGACGACCGCACUUAAGGCAGUUGACACGCUUAACCCAAGUGGCACUAAUGACCGAGAUAGGGUAAGUGCCAUUUCUUUCAUUAUUCUUCCAUGUUCAUGCCUCUUCUUUGGUGCUUCAAGUGCUAACUUGUUAUUUUGUUUGUAGCUCACUAUUGCACAAAAAAUAUUGCAAGGAGAGGAGAAGAAGACCAAGAAAAGGAAAGACCAGGAAAGGGAGACCAUUUACCUUGCCCUAUUACUAUGAUGCAUUGAAGGAUGAUGAGAAAUGAAGGUCACGUGAAGGUGUCGAUGAGGGGAGCAACAAACGCAAGCGAACUAUUGAUUUGGAUGAUGAUGAGGAAGAGCCAUCACGUGAUGGCGGCAAGAGAAGCCCUCUACCAAACUCGGUUGCCUACUCCAAGCCAAAUAGACCAAGUGGAGGCAAGGAAGAUGGAAAAGAAAAGAAGAAGAGGAAAGGAGACGAUGAGCUAAAAAUGCUAUGGAAGCUAUUGUGAACGCAAGAAAGGAAGGGAAUGAGGUGAGGAAGAUGACAAGGAACAAAGAUGCGGCGGCUGAGGAGAGGAGGUUGGCGACCGAGGAGAGAAGGAUGACGGGCGAGGAGAGGAAUGUGGCAUUGGAGGAGAAGAACUUGGCCAUGGAGGAGCGCACUAGAUUGUUGGAAUGGGAAAAGUACUUGUUCUUCAUCAUCACUACAAGGAAUAUGCUAAUAAACGACGCUAUUUUUUCGUCGCUACAUCGUCACGGUUUUUAAUUUACGACGAUCCCAUGACGAAAAACCAAGCGUCGAAAAUGGAGCGUCACAAAUGAACAACAGCGACGCUUUGAUCAAAAUCGUCGUAACUUUUACGACGAUUCUUGGAUCGUUGUAACGUUUACGACGAUCCUAAAUCGUCAUUGGCAAUCAAACCCAGUCCUACGUGGCAGUCCUAUGUGGCAAAAUUACGACGAAAUCAAAACGUCAUGGUUGAAAUCAACCCAACCCAUUUCAAUUGAUCACAUGGGCUGGUUUUAUUUUUUGGGGCUUUUUCUUAUUGGGCUUCUUUUUGGGCCUUAGCCUAUUUACACCCACUUUAGUUUUUUUUUAUCAUUAUAAUUUGGGCCCUCGCCUUUUAAUGGCCAAAUACAUUUGAUCCAGUUUCAGUUUUGGCCUUUUCCAUUUUUGAAUUCAGCAACUUUUUAUUCCAAAACUUGGUUUCAUUUCUAUUUGUUGGGACUUUUAACCCAAUUAUUUGUCCAAUAUUAAAUCCAACACUAUUUCAUAUUCAAAUCAAGAAAACUCCAAGUCGAAUUAAAAUCAUCCAUCAUAUAACAUCACAUAAUACAUCUCUCAGGUUUACAUAACACAAUAAGCCAUCUCCUAAAUACAUUUCCGUACACAGGAAUAUAGCAAAAACAAACAGAAUUCCAUUUGAGAAAUAGAACAAUGGCACAUCUACUACGGUCACUAUAGCAAAAACAUCUGCUACUAUCACUACAAUGGACUUUAUUCCACUAGCAAAAACAAACAAAAUUCCAUUUGAGAAGGCAUAGGUAGAUUCGUUAUUCCAGAUAACAACUGUUCCCUCUUUGUAGUUUCCUGGACUUCCAUCUCCGGCAAGAGCUUUGACGAGAGCACCACAAGCAGUACUGCAAUACUCAUACAAGUCAAACAGGAAAAAUGAUGUGAUACUGUAAGUGCAUCUAGUGUCCCUUAGUGAUUUUGGUGGUUUGAAGAAUUAUAGGUUAAGUAUCUAAUCUGUUUAAAAGUGUACACAUGAUCUAUAAGUCAUUGAGGAGUUUGAGAUAUUUGAAGAAUAUCGACCCCUAAAAAUAUAUAUCUUCGGUUGAAGAAAUUGGCCUGAAGGUGAAGAAAUGAAUCGCGAGGAAUCUGCGAUGAAAUUGAUAUUCCUCAUGAAGAUACGGAAAUUGAGGAAUCCGGUGUGUCGUGAAAAAAAUCACUCUGAAGAAUUUGAAGCAUGAAGAUUUACUCUUUCUGUUUUAUUUUCUUCGCAUUUGAGUAAUAGGAACACUGUACUGUUAAAGGGGGUCGAAGUUACACUUUGGAAUGAAUUUCCUCAUGAUGCUUAACCCAAGCCUAAUCCUAUCAAAAGCCUCAAGUGAGGAAUACGAGUGACAUGAGGACUCUCACAGUUGAGGGUUCCAACAUUUCGAUAGCCACGCCAAGUCAUUGGUCUUAUCCACUCCAACGGUCCUAUUAUUUAAGGGCAUUAGUGUCAAAUCAUGUCCGGAUGCUCCUAGGCUAUAAAUAGCCACCCCCCCCCCAACCAUUAGCUGGUUGGCUGCUCCGUUAGAAACUGACACUUGUCAUAAGAGCAACCCAAUUCCUCAGAAUCUUCAAGAGCAAUUCAUCAGUGAGGAAAUACACCAUACACCGAAACCACAAACCAAACCUAGUGAUUGAGCAUCACUGAAGAAGUUGUUCCUGUGUGGGACUGAAGCCUUUUACCUUUGAGGACUGUGCAUCCUCCAGAUGGUUAGGCGUCAUGGUCUAGAGAUUUCCAGCAGACAAUUGUGGAUCGCCGGGUGACCAAGUUUGUGAGGGUUUGGAAGUCUGCCCUGAAGACUUACCACGAGUGUUGGGCGAGGACUGUGUGUUCUUAGCCCAAGGAGAACAUGGUAGGGAUUGUGUGUCCCGGGACUGUAUGUCCUUUGGUUUCAAUACCAAUCUGCUCCAAACCAGAUGUACGACUGUCACAGCAGUUGGAACUGGGUCAUCAACGACUGUCUUCACUGAGAAACAGGUUCUAAUUCCUCAACUCCUUACUUUCCUCGUAUUAUGUGUUGAUGACCUUCACUACUACUGUUUGAAGAAUUUGCUGAAGACUUUCUCUGAAUUUCCUCAACCCCAAAUUCUUCACGUCAGUUAAUCCUCAUCUAUAUUCUGCGUGCCUGCUCACUGUGCAAUCUGUUUUCACAUUCCUCACUCUGAAAAACUGCUGUUUUGAAACUUUGCAUUUCUGAUCCUUUACUGUUUCCGCUGUGAGUUAGUCAUCAGUGAGGAAUUUCCUCAAAAGGAAUUUCCUCAGUGAUGAAAUUCUAAAAAUCUCCUAUUCACCCCCCUCUAGUCGAUAUAACGCACUUUCAAUUGGUAUGAGAGCAAGGUACUCCCUUGUUCUGUCUGAUUUUGGUUUAACCACCUGGAGUUUUAGUUAUGUCGACUGCACGCAUGUUUAAGGUGACUACAGCAUGUCCUACCUUCGAAGGAAAGAACAUUCCCUUCUGGAAAAACAAAAUGCAAAUGCAUCUACAAGCUAUUGAUAAUGAUCUCUGGUAUAUUGUGGAACAUGGCGUCCCCAUCAUCUCUGCUAGUGUCUCUGCUGCUGAUGUGACGAAAUUCAAGCAACUCGAUUCUCAAGCGAAGAAUAUCAUCUGUGGCCAUCUGAGCUCAGGCCAGUUUGGAAGAGUAAGUGCUUUGGGCUUUCCAACACUGAUCUGGGAGAGACUGUGCAAGGUAAAUGAAGGAGUAUCAACCCAACGUGACUCUCGUGUUGAUAUUCUUCGCAAUCUCUUCAAUCGCUUCAAGAGACAUGACAAUGAAAGCUGCCAAGACACCUUUGAUCGCCUCACUGACAUAUCAAAUGAACUGCAAGCACUGGGAGCUCGAGACAUCACUGAUGACGAAGUUGUGAAGAAACUGCUGAGAUCUUUGGAUUCUUCAUUUGAUACUUUAGUUCUGAUGAUUCAAGAAAGACCAGACUACAAGAUGCUUGAUCCAGCUGAUAUACUCGAAAGGCUAAAUACUCAUGAAUUCCAGCUAGAAGAAAAGAAAUAUCUAUAUGGACCAAGCUAUUCCAGAUCACGUGCACUGAAGGCUAGAGCAAUUUCCUCAUCUGAAGAAGAAGACACAGAUGACAGCAUUGGUGACCCUGAAGAAUUGGGACAGGAGCUUGCAAUGCUCGUGAGGAAAUUCCAGAGAUUUACACGACGUGGCCAGUUCGGUAAAUUUUCAAGAAGAGACAUGAGGAAAUCAGAAUCUUCAUCUGAGGACUACAAGAAACGAACCUGCCACAAGUGCAAGAAAUCAGGUCAUUACAUUGCUGAUUGUCCCCGUUGGAGAAAGGAAUCAAAGAAGAAGAAAUACAAGGAUGACAGUUCUGAUGACUCGAAGAAGAAGAAGAAAUCUUCAAAAUCCUCAUCUUCAAAGCCCUCAUCGCACAAGAAGAGUAGUUUCAGAAAGGCUCGGGCACUUAUUGGCAAGGAAAUGGACUCCAAGGCAGAAUCAGAAGAAUGUGAUGAAGAAGAGGGUUCUGAUGAAGACUCAGAAUCCGGACAGGCUAGUCUUGCACUGGCAACCACUUUCAUCAGCAAGUCAAUCUUCAAUCUUGAAGAAAAUGAUUGCACCAUCCACACUGAUGACUAUGCUGAUUACUUCGCUCGAACCUAUUGCUUCAUGGCAAAAGGUUCAAAGGUACCAAAUAAUGCUUCCUCCUCUGAUUCAAGUGACUAUGAACCUGAUGAUUAUAAGAAACCCAGUUACAGUAAACUUGCUAUCAUUGCCACUAAACAACAAACUGCCCUGGAAAAGCUUCAGAAACUGCUAGAUAAAAGUGAUGAUCUGUUGAAUGAUGAAAUGAACCUUACCCAAAUCCUCACUGAAGAUGUGAAAAGUCUUCAGUCUAGAUUUGAUAAUCUUCAGGAUCGUUAUGAUACACUCCUUACUGAUCACGAGAAGCUUUCCUAUGAAUUUCUUCAAAGGAAGCUUGAUAUUGAGAAGCUGAGGAUGUCUCAUGAUGAUCUUCGUAUGGAAAAUGAUUCAUUACUAGCUCAACAGAUCAGCGCUGGUCAAGUUGAAUUCAUUCCUCCAUGUCUUAAAUGCAUUGAACGCGAAACUGCUAAUUCCUCACCAGAAUCAUCAAAUGCUACUAUUACUACAAAUUCUUCAACUGCACCUGUUGUGUCUAUUUCCUCACUGGAGGAAAACACAAAUGUUACUGAUGAAGAUGCAGGGUUGAAGGAAUUGUACGUAACAGGCAUAUACAAAAGCCUCAAAGGACAUCAAACCCUUUGUGAUGUGCUCAAAAAGAAGAUCUUGAACAGGAACCCGAGGAAAGAAGGAAUUGCCUUUGAGAGGAAAUUAAAUGCUGAUGGAUCUUAUUGGAAACCAGAGCAGUAUCCCAAAACCUCAUGGGUUGCUGCUACUGGGCCUCCUUUUGAUCCAUCUAAUCUAACUGGCUUUUCAUGUGAAUUAUCCUAUUCCUCAGAUGAGUCAUUUGACUCCAACUAUAAACUGUUCAAAAAUCAAUCUGGUGAAGUAUUUACUCGAUAUGUUGGAACUAACUGCAGGAAUGGCCCUCCCUUGAGGAAAAUCUGGGUUCCCAAAAGAUGUCUUGAAAAUCUUCAGGUGAAUGUCCUCAUGACACCACCACUGAAGAAUCUGAACCCCAGAUCAAAUUCCUCAGGAGGACCAAAGUCUUCAAGAGGAUCAAAAUCCUCAACUGGUCAAAACUAUGCUCGUACUCGUGCUAAUGCAUCUAACAUGCAGGGAAACUACAAGGAAUAUGAAUAUGAGCGUUACUCCUCAAAUCAUUAUGUUCAUAGAUCCUCAAACCAGUUCUCUGCAUAUUCAUAUGAGUACUUUAACCCCCCCUACUGUUAAGAGAAGUGCAUUGGCUUCAAUGCCACCUUUCUCAUAUAGUGCUCGCAGGAUGAUGAAUGCUUUGCCACCCCUUCAGAUGUGGGUGGUGAAGAAAUCGAACUAAUCACUUUUGCAGGUCAGGUCUCCAGAUGAAAAUCAUCAUCUCAGGAAUUUGCUGGAGACCUGAGGAAAUGCUUGAUAGGACGCAAGCUAACGAUUGAUGAAAUAGAAAUAUUUCACAUGUCCUUAUAUUUCUGUUGUGAUGAAAUUCUUAUCUGAUGAAAUUAAUAUCAUAUUCUUCAAAUCUGAAGCAUAUGAGAUGGUAAGCUGUACUAAUUCAUCUGCAGGAUGACAAACCCAAGAAUACUGAGUGGGUUCUUGAUAGUGGUUGUACACAUCACAUGACUGGUGAUAAAAGCUUACUGAUAAAUAUGCCACUAACUCCAUCACCUCUGAAGCAAAUCACAUAUGUUGACAAAGGUAAAAGCAAGGUAUUGGGACUUGGCAAAGUGGCUAUUUCCAAGGAUAGGCAUAUGGACAAAGUGAUGCUUGUUGAAUCCCUUAGUUUUAACCUCAUGUCUGUCUCGAUGCUUUGUGAUCUUGAUAUGAUUGUUAUCUUUGAUAGAUAUAGAUGUGUAGUCAUCAUGGAAUCUGACAGAUCCAAAGUCUUCGAAGGUGUAAGAAGAGGGGAUUUGUACAUUGUUUAUUUCUCUACAGGUCCUCAACCAGCCACUUGCUUACUAGCAAAAACCUCAGAAGGAUGGUUGUGGCACCGAAGACUAGGUCAUGCUGGCAUGAGGAAUUUGCACACUUGCUUACUAGGCACAUGAAGGUUUUAUGCUCGGCUAUGGAAAGGACUCGCGCACUUACAGUCUUCAACAACUAUCACAACAAAGUUGUUGAGACUGUAGAUGUGCGGUUCGAUGAAACUAAUGGCUCGCAAAGAGAGCAAUUGCCUUCUGAUCCAGAUAAGUUGUCUCCCGAGGAAGCAAUAAAGCUCAAACCUACUGAAGACAUUGUUCCCACUGAGGAAAUUGGUGAAGAAACGAUCCCCAUCACUGAUGAAAAUCAAGAAGAUGCUCCUGAGGAAAUUGCACCUGAACCACUUCCUCAGCCCACACAAAAUCCUCAACCAGCUCAUCCAAGGAUUGCAAAUGAAGUAGAACUUGACAAAAUCCUCAACGACAUCAACGCGCCAGGUCCUCUCACUCGCUCAAAAGCUUCACACUUAGUUAACUUUUGUGGGCAUUUUUCCUUUGUAUCCAUCACAAAACCCUCAAAAGUUGCUGAGGCUUUUCUGGAACCGGAGUGGAUCCAAGCUAUGCAAGACGAACUUCUUCAAUUCAAGCUGAACGGCGUAUGGGAACUCGUCAAACGACCAAGCAAGAUGAGGACGGUCAAGUGGUGAGGAACAAGGCACGACUUGUAGCUCAAGGCUACACCCAGGUUGAAGGAAUAUAUUUCGAUGAAACUUUUGCACAUGUUGCUAGACUUGAAGCUAUUCGAAUACUACUUCCUUAUGCUAAUCAUCAUAACAUCAUCUUAUAUAAAAUGGAUGUGAAAAGUGCAUUCCUCAAUGGUAAGCUUGAGGAAGAAGUAUAUGUUGCUCAGCCCCCAGGUUUUGGGGAUCCAAAGAAUCCAGACAAAGUCUUCAGACUCAGAAAGGCUCUUUAUGGUCUCAAGCAAGCCCCUCGGGCAUGGUAUGAUACAUUGAAGGAAUUCCUCAUGAAGAAAGGCUUCAAACCUGAUUCACUCGAUCCAACUCUUUUCACUAAAUCCUAUGAUAAUGAGCUAUUUGUGUGUCAAAUAUAUGUCGAUGAUAUCAUAUUUGGCUGUACUGACAAACGAUAGAGUGAUGAAUUUGCUUACAUGAUGAGUGAAGAAUAUCAGAUGUCCAUGAUGGGGGAGCUGAAAUUCUUCUUAGGUCUUCAAAUUCGUCAACAAAGCAAUGGAAUCUUCAUAUCAUAGGAGAAAUACCUCAAGGAUGUUCUGAGGAAAUUCGACAUGCAUGAAUGCAAAGGUGCCAAGACUCCAAUGCCUACCAACGGCCACCUCGGCACUGAUAAAAAUGGUAAAGAUUUCGAUCAGCAGGUAUAUCAUUCUAUGAUUGGUUCUUUAUUGUAUCUAUGUGCAUCUAGGCCAGAUAUAAUGCUUAGUGUUUGCUGUGCACGUUUUCAAGCAAAACCGAAGGAAUCACACCAUAAGGUUGUGAAGCAUAUUCUUCGAUACUUAGCUCACACACCAACACUAGGAUUAUGGUAUCCCAAGGGCUCAAAUCUUCAUCUGGUAGGGUAUUCUGAUUCUGACUAUGCUGGUGACCGUGUGGAUCGCAAGUCAACUUCUGGCACAUGACAUUUCCUCGGAAGAUCACUAGUUUGCUAGUCCUCAAAGAAGCAGAACUGCGUAUCACUCUCCACUGCCGAAGCUGAGUACAUUUCUGCUGGUUCAUGAUGUGCUCAAUUACUAUGGAUGAAGCAAACCCUCAAGGACUACGGCAUCAACAUGAAGAAUGUGCCUCUCUACUGUGACAAUGAGAGUGCUAUCAAGAUUGCAUACAACCCAGUACAACACUCGAAGACCAAGCACAUCCAGAUUCGUCAUCAUUUUCUUCGGGACCAUGUCCUCAAGGGCAAUAUCCUCAUCGACCAUGUGAAGACUGAUGAUCAACUGGCAGAUAUCUUCACUAAGUCCUUGGAUGAGAAAAGGUUUUGCAAGUUGCGGUGUGAGCUAAAUAUCUUAGAACCUUCAAAUGUUUUGUAAAAACAUGCACACAUCCUAACACUUAUGCAAAAUUGAUGACUUGGAUGUGCAACACAUGAUGAAUCGAUUUUCUUCAACUGAUGAAGAAUGUCACUCUGAAUGUGAAGAAAUCAACGAAGAAAUUGAUUCUCAGGGCCCUACGACAAUUGUACGCGGUGUCUGUAAUCAACAUUCCUAUAUGGUGGGUCAUGCCACCGCCCAAUGUAAAAUUCCUCAAGUUGAUUUUCUUCAAAUGUUUCAUUUCCUCAAAAUGUGUUUUUCUUCAAAACAGUUGUUCUUCAUUGUGACGAGUUAUCACAAAAUCUUCAAAAACACUUGAUGACUUUCAUUUGACUAGAUAGACUGAGAUUUCAAAGUCCUCAACAGCAUUCACUUAUAGCUAUUUCUUCAAGUUGAUGUUUCUGCUAAGUGAAUGUGAUUGGACCCUACUUUCCCUCUAUGCUAUACUCAUCCAGUCUAUUCAAUUCUUCAUAUGCGUUCUACUUGAAACUUUGUUCAAAAUCCUCACUGCAUCCUUGUCAGCUGAUGAUUUUGUAACGAAAAUCCUCAAAUCUUCAAAAAUUGUUUCUUUAAUGCACAGUAACUGAACCCCACUUCCCACGAUCGGAUAACCAUGAUCUCCACUACCUCCACCGCCUCGUUCGGGAACUACACGUGUCCUGCGGAGACGUAGAGGCAGGGGUUGUUUGGUCCGAAAUCUUCACGCCAACAGUAACUGUCUGGCUAUAAAUAUGUCCCUAUCCCCCUGGGCAAACUCUUCUUCGCUCCAGCGCUCUCCUGCUACAGCAAAAUCCACUGAACCCUAGCGCCAUCGCUGGUAGUCUCUCGUCGCCGGUGAGGAAGAGCUUCACUGCCUCGACUUCUCCGUUGCCGAAAGCACGCCGGAGUCGGACCAUCUUCGUCCGCCGCCGCCGUAGACGUCCUCUGUCGCCGGGUUAGGGUGCAUUGGACACGCGACCGAAGAGCCUCUCUACACAACCUCUCUGUGUUCUUCGUGUGCUCCUUCAAGGGUAAAUAAAAUCCCAUUUUUACCGCAAGUUAGAUCUACAAUUUUACAUCUUCAAUGUGAAAUCUGUUUUUCCUCAAGAAUCGAUAAGCACUUGAUUCCUCAAACACUGCCUAUCACCACAUCAUUGAUGAACUAUACUAAGCAUCUAAGAUUUCCAUGAGAUUCCUCAAUUGUGCGAAUUUUCGGAUCUGUACAACUUUGGAACCCAAGAACAGUAUGCUUAGGCAAAUUCCUCAACGACUGGUUAAAUUCCUCAACUGUCAAACUUUUUCAUUUUCUUCAAAUCUGAGAACGCAUAUGACCUCUCCAAAUUCCCCGCAACUAUACUCUGUUCACAGGUACACACAUGUCAGCUGAUGAAUCUCUCAGUUCUCAUCACAUUAACUCAUUUGCAGCGUUUCUGGAAGAAAAUCUUCAAGUCUCAUCAGAAUCCUCAAGAGUUCAAUCUCAUCAGCAAAAUCCUCACCUGAAGAAAAUGGAGGAUGACAGAAAACAAAAGGGAGGAAAGAAACUUGAGCAAAACACAGUUGUGGAUAUCCCUGAGGAUAUUUACUUGAACUAUUGCACACCUGAUGAAAAUGGGACAAUGGCCAAGAGAAAGAUACGGCUGCAGAAGAUAGAACGCCGAUGGGCGAAGGAAUGGAAAGAAUACAGGUUUGUGACUGCAAAGUAUGCAAAGAAGCCCCCUGGCAAACGGGCCCCACUUGAGGCUCAUCAAGUAGCACAUCCCUCAAGCCUCAAGACCAUUGAUGACUAUCAAGAUGAGAAGGAAAAGCAUCUUGCUAAGCUCAAGAAGCAGGCAGAAGCUGCAGUGAGAAAAUUCAAUGAAUCCUCAGCUGCUGCCUCAGCUGCUGCUACUUCCUCUGCCGCUGAGACCUCUGGUUCAGCAAUUCCUCAAAUGCAGUCUGUGCCGUCAAAGCCAAGGGCUCCAAAGACUCAAGAGAAGUCUUCUCAGGUAUCAGUUACAAAACCCUCAGCACCAAAACCAUCAGCGCCAAAACCCUCAGUGCCAAUCUCCUCUGCUCCAAAAUCCUCAGCACCACCACCAAAGCCUCAAGAGACACCUGUCCAGAAGCAAGUCAUGAAGCCUAUGACCGCCAGCUCCAGUUCCUCACUCCCAGCUGCAACCAGCUCGGAGACAAAGUCUUCACCACCUCCUGUGAAGACUCAGGUGUCUGCUGAAAAAGCAACUCUGCCAAGCCCGAGCAAAAUCAUCACCGUCCCGUCUACAUCAGAGGGCAAUGAUGAAUAUGAUGACCAAACCCUGCAAGCCAUCAUUAGAAACAAGCAGGAAAGAGUAGCUCAAGCAUCAGGCAGUGUCAUUCCUCUCGCCAUGGACCCCAAGGUCCUUCUUGACUACAUCAACAUCUGGUAUGAGGACCCAAACACUCCGCUUGAUGAUUUGAAACUUCCUCCUGGCAUAAGCCACAUGGUGGCCACUUUCAUCAAUGAAGCCAAGAGGAAAGAAUAGCAGGCCAAGGAGGCCAAGGUUGCAAAGCUUAAAAAGGAGAAAAUCCUCAAGCAGAAUCUCCUCAGGUUGACGCCUGAUGCACUGGUAUCAACACAGGCAGAGCUGAAGAAUUUGACUGACAAGUACUCCAAGCUAUCAGAUCGUAAAAGCCUCAAGAGCAAUUUCAUCAAGUUGGCCACUAAAGAUGUUGAUGACUACAACAAGAAGGCUGCACCUCCAACACCAACUUCUCAGCCUUUGAUUGAGGAGCCAGCAGACGAAUCUCCUCAUGAUGAGGAAACUCCUCAAGCUGAGGAAGUCCACCAAGAAAGCCGUGCAGAUGUACCGGCUAUUGAAGAAAUCAUCAUGGAAGCUCCAGCUGAUGAAUCUGCUGCAGCUGAUGAGACUGCCCCUGACCCAGUUGCUUCAUCCAAGCAAGCUGAUGACUCUGUUCCAGCUGGUUCCUCAAUACCAGCUGAAGAAUCUGUCGAGAGAACCCCUUCACCAAAAGCUUCAAAGGUGAAGAAGAUGACUCCGUCUGUAUCAGACGUGAAGAAAACCAGGGCUGCUGAGAAGGAAGCCAAAAAAGUGAAAGGCCUCCUUAGCAGAAGAAGAAACAGAGGCCAAGCGCCUCAAAGCACUUGAAGAAACUGCUCCUCUGGACCCUGUGCCCCUAAAUGUCGCUCCUUCUUAUGAAAUGGUCAUCCUUGAUGAUCAAGCAAAAGGGGCAUAUGAGGAAAUGAAGGAUGCUGCUGCUGAGGAACACACCGACGAAGAAAUUCGUAUUGACGACAGUCUUCAACCCUUCAUUCCUCAGAAAGACACCGCUCAAGGAUCAGCUGCACCAGCUGAAGAAACUACCUCUACCACCAAGCCAGCUGAAGAAGAACAAACUGAAAAUCCUCAAGCUGAUGAAAUUCAAAGCUCUGAGCAAAAUCUUCACGAUGAGGAACAGGCUGACCCAACUCCUCCAACUGAGCAAGAUGAAACUAUUCCUCAGCCUGAUGCACAGCCAGAGCAAGCCCCUCAGCCUGACACCCAGCCAGAACCAUCUCCUCAGCCUAAAGUACCAGCUGCUGAAAUUCCACACCCUGAGGAAAAUGCUGAGGAAAAUGCACCUGACCAAGACAAUGCAUUCGUCGUGCUCAACCCCGAGACUGCAAUUGUUGUAUCCCCUCCUGUUCCUCAGCAAAAUCUUCAGCCAGCUCAGCGUCAGCCAUUCUCCAAGCGUCCAAAGUUUCAAAAGGAGAAUUUCUUUGAAGAACGCAUGUACUUCAUUGGAGAGAACCCCUAUGACAAGCCUCAAAUGCGGCAUCUGAAGUUUUGGACUAGGGCACGCAUGAAUUACUAUGCCUCUGUGUUAUGUGGACGAAACAAGAUAUUCCAGCACACGCAUAUUCCUCACGUUGAACUUGAAGCUAUACCGUGCCUAGAGCCAGUCCUCAGUGUACUCCAUGAUGCUGGUUUACUACCAAUGUGCUCCGACAUCUCUGACUGGAACAACGAGCUAAUUCUUCAGUUCUAUGCCACUCUUCACAUAUCUGGCAACCCUGAAGACAUUAACACUUGGGUCUUUGAUUGGAUGACACAAAACACUCACUACAAGGCUCCUGCUACUGAACUCCUCCGUGAAUUGCCUGUACCAAUUCCCUCAGAUGAGACUGUGAAACUUUAUGGUGAGUGUGAGCUGCCCAAUGGGAUGAUGGAAGUCCUCAUGAAGCCUUUGGCUAAAGGAAAACCUCCGAGAAAAACCUUCCUCGUCCACGAUCUCAAGUAUACACCCAGGUCUGUCUACAGAAUCCUCUGCAGUGUGCUCGCGUCGAUCAAAGGCCAUGAUGAUGAAGAAGAUGCCGUAGGCCACAUGAAGAAUAUCCUCUUCAACAUCAUCCAUGGUAUUCCUAUCAACAUCCAUGAUUUCUUCUUGAGGACUUUGGCCGACAAUGCUAUAUGUCCUUUUGAUCACAAGAUAUAUGCCCCAUGGAUCAUGAGAUUCAUCAGGACAAGGACAGGCAUCAACUUUCUCGCUGAGUGCCAAAACCAUGUUGGUUAUAUGCCUCCUAUCCGGGUCAACAAGAAGACUUUCGAGCCCAUUGAAGCAAAAGGCAAAUUAGUGAUUGAAGAAGGCAGUUGGCCCCUUGAUGGCCAGUUUAGAGAGCCGGAAGCAUAUUCUUCAUGGGAUGAUACUGAGACUUGUCCGGCAAGCCCCGUUCCUCCUCGUGUGAUGAAUACACGAGAGCUCCUCCUCAGUCUUCACCAGAAGGUGGAUCGCAAUCACAAGUGGGUCAAACGCCAGUUUGGCGCCAUUGUGAAAACCCUCACUAAAACACAGAACUCUGUGAAGCUCAACCAUCACUAUCUGCAUGAGGUUUUUGACCGCACCUGGGCUACACUUGCACAUCUGAAGACUCGGACUGAGCUUGAAGAAAUGGACUUUGAGCGAUACUUUCACUGGUCGUGGCCUCCCAAGAAGAAGUUCAGGCCCAUUCCAGUUCCAGACCUUGAAGACAGCUCCUUUUCUUCAUUCCGCACUGCUGAAACUGAUGAAGAACAGCUCGACACUGCUACCGGUCCAAGGAAGAAGACUACUCCCAAGAAACAUCACGGCUCUUCCUCAACCGCCAAGAAGUGACGUCUUCUCGGGCGUUAGUCCUCAGUUUGUCCAUUUUUGUCACUUGAUGACAAAGGGGGAGAAACUUGAGAGUUAGUCUUCAAGCGGGAUAUUUUUGGGGCUUAUAAACUAUAUUUAAGUUACAAACUCUUGCCUCUUCUAAAGUUUUUAUGUAAUGAGUUGUAACUUAAGCCCGAUGGUACUCUGGCGCUUUUGAACAUUUUUCUUCGCAUGCUUAUUCCUCAAGUUUUAAUGCACGCAUGCUGGAAUUCAUCAGAUAUCAUUUGUCAUCAUGCAUUUUCAUUUUCUUCAUAUGAUAUGUUACAUGUAUGCAUGAUUUACAAGACUCAGGGGGAGAUCUCCAUGAUAUAAAUCAUCAAUGUGCAUUUGCUGUGAAAAGCAAAAUCCUCACGAUAUGCACAUCUUCAGGGGGAGUCUCUCUGAAUCUUGAUUUAAAAUUCCUCAAAUGAGUAUUUACAUUUCAUUAUUUUGAUCCCUGUUGAAGACUUAACCUAAUUGUCAUCAACCACCAAAAAGGGGGAGAUUGUAAGUGCAUCUAGUGUCCCUUAGUGAUUUUGGUGGUUUGAAGACUUAUAGGUUAAGUAUCUAAUGUGUUUAAAAGUGUACAAAGGAUCUAUAAGUCAUUGAGGAGUUUAAGAUAUUUGAAGAAUAUCGACCCCUAAAAAUAUAUAUCUUCGGUUGAAGAAAUUGGCCUGAAGCUGAAGAAAUGAAUCGCGAGGAAUCUGCGAUGAAAUUGAUAUUCCUCAUGAAGAUACUGAAAUUGAGGAAUCCAGUGUGUCCUCAAGAAAAUCACUCUGAAUAAUUUGAAGCAUGAAGAUUUACUCUUUCUGUUUUAUUUUCUUCGCAUUUGAGUAAUAGGAACACCGUACUGUUAAAGGGGUCGAAGUUACACUUUGGAAUGAAUUUCCUCAUGAUGCUCAACCCAAGCCUAAUCCUAUCAAAAGCCUCAAGUGAGGAAUACGAGUGACAUGAGGACUCUCACAGUUGAGGGUUCCAACCGUUUCGAUAGCCACGCCAAGUCAUUGGUCUUAUCCACUCCAACGGUCAUAUUAUUUAAGAGCAUUAGUGUCAAAUCAUGUCGGGAUGCUCCCAGGCUAUAAAUAGCCACCCCCCACAACCAUUAGCUGGUUGGCUGCUCCGUUAGAAACUGACACUUGUCAUAAGAGCAACCCAAUUCCUCAGAAUCUUCGAGAGUAAUUCAUCAGUGAGGAAAUACACCAUACACCGAAACCACAAACCAAACCUAGUGAUUGAGCAUCAGUGAAGAAGUUGUUCCUGUGUGGGACUGAAGCCUUUUACCUUUGAGGACUGUGCAUCCUCCAGACGGUUAGGCGUCAUGUUCUAGAGCUUUCCAGCAAUCAAUUGUGGAUCGCCGGGUGACAAGUUUGUGAGGGUUUGGAAGUCUGCCCUGAAGAUUUACCACGAGUGUUGGGCGAGGACUGUGUGUUCUUAGCCCAAGGAGAACACGGUAGGGAAUGUGUGUCCCGGGACUAUGUGUCCUUUGGUUUCAAUACCAAGCCGCUCCAAACCAGAUGUACGACUGUCACAGCAGUUGGAACUAGGUCAUCAACGACUGUCUUCACUGAGAAACGGGUUCUAAUUCCUCAACUCCUUACUUUCCUCGUAUUAUGUGUUGAUGACUUUCACUGCUACUAUUUGAAGAAUUUGCUGAAGACUUUCUCUGAAUUUCCUCAACCCCAAAUUCUUCACGUCAGUUAAUCCUCAUCUGUAUUCUGCAUGCCUGCUCACUGUGCAAUCUGUUUUCACAUUCCUCACUCUGAAAAACUGUUGUUGUGAAACUUUGCAUUUCUGAUCCUUUACUGUUUCCGCUGUGAGUUAGUCAUCAGUGAGGAAUUUUCUCAAAUGGAAUUUCCUCAGUGAUGAAAUUCUAAAAAUCUCCUAUUCACCCCCCCCUCUAGUCGAUAUAACGCACUUUCAGAUACUAGUAGCAAAUGAAGAACAACUGUAUGCAUCGAAAAAAAGUAAGACGGGACAACUAAAUUGCAACACAUCAGACCAACUUAGAGAAAUCAAAAAUAGCAUUUUGGUAGUUCAUUUGGUAUUGAUUCCUGUCACACUUAUCUAUCCCUGAAACAUACUCAUGAAAGAAGAUUCAACUAUUCUUGUCAUACUCAUUCCUGUCAUAACCUCAUUAACGUUAGUUGGCAAGAUUAAUGGAGCAAGCCAUUUAAUCAUUGUCUACUCAUGAAAGAAGAUGCAACUAUUAAUCAUAACAAAUACUCAUGCAUUCCCCAUAGAGUGUCGUUGGUCACUUUUAUCUUUAUGUACAAACGAGCAAGGGUCAUUACUCAUUACAUGCAACAUACUAUACGUUUUAUGUAAUGCAUCUAUAAUGAAAUAUAAUAUGACUCGCAAAAUCAUGAGUAAACAUGCAACUGAGAAAGACUUUAAGAAAUGCAUCUUUGUAUCAAUCCACUUCAGAACAUUGAAUAUAAUACCAAAGACAAUGAAGAGAAAACUUCUGAGGUAAAAGGAAUGGAUGGAGACUUACAUCAACUACAACAGGAAUAAGUAUUAUCUUUGAUUCACCGUUAACAUUCAAUAAUUGAGCUGCAUAGCAACAAAAAUAAUCUCAUUAGACCAGUUAUACAAAACCACACGUCCAUAUGGAUGCUCAGGGAAUUUUUCAGUAUUAAUAAACUGUUGUCAAGUAGCUCUAAGGGAUAAUAUAAAACCUGAGCCACAGCAGUAGUCUGUGUGGUGGAGAUAUACAAGUAGUAGCAUGAGAGCGACACCAAAGACUUCAAUGCUGUGAGUCCAUAUAUCACUACAAGUCUACAACACAUGUUUUGCCUCUAUGAAAGGGACUGCUGAUUGAGAUUGCACGACCAGUUUUAACUUUUAGUAUCACACAGCAGAACAAAGAAUUAACAGGAACAAAAUUUCCUUUUGCCAUCACUCGUUGGUUGUACAGUACUAUAUAGGAGUAGUAAAGUAUUUUUUUUGAAUGAUCAAAAAAGUAUAUUCUGAGUUUGUCUCAUGACUAGUGUAAAUGGUCCAAUAUUAUCCUUACAGGUAUCAAAAAUGAAGGGAUUUUGUUUUGAGAGCUAGUCCUUCCCUUAGAGCAUCCACAUCUAGCUAGAAGUCAAGGAGGCGCUACCUGUCUAUAUUGGAGCUUCCAUACCCAUGGCCUAAUCACUAGUCCAUAGUGCAAUUGAUAUGUCCAUAUAGCUGUGUCAUGCACCCGUCUUCCAUAGCCAAUUAUGCCGAAUUGGGGUUUCUUGCAGUUACUUCUUACAGGUUUAACACGUGCAGUAUAUAUAAUUCAAGCUCAGGUGGUGUGGCAUAUGGUCUUGUGAAGCAGUAUCUGAAACUGAAAAUCCAUGAGUGAAGAUCAUCAGUGUGCGACCUGUGUCAUGCAUCAGUAGGGGGAAGAAUGGCAAGAUUAGCAUAAAUAUUCACGCACUGCUACUAAUCGACGGUACGGUACAAGACUCAAUUAACACAAGCCUGGACACCUAAAUCUUGAACAAUAUCGAAUAAUCACAACAAGAUCCUUGUCUGGCUCUAAAUCUGAUAACGCACCACAAGAAGAACUCGUUCUUGAUAUCAAUAACAUCACAAAGAUAGCAAAAGUGCCUAAGGAGAACAUUCACAGCAGAGACUAGUAUCCAUUUGUACCAGUAAGAUGCCGACGCAGAGAGGAGUGGAAGUAACUUACAGAGAGUUUAUAAGAGGCAUUUGGUUGAAUGUUGGAACAGAGACAACCAUCCAGCUCUAGCAAGACAUACUCUUGUACUUCCUCUUCCUCUUCUCUGAUUUGCUUGUCUCUCUCGUGUCCCUUUGCCAUCUUCUAGCAGGUAUGUGUACUCACACUAUCACGCAUCAGUAAAAGUAUAGAAGCAGCAGUUCACCAACCUUGCCUGCAGAGUCCAAAAGCAGGGGAUGAGUGCUUACGUUAGCUGAAUAGACAACCUAGCAUAUUCCCUGUUUAUAAGAGGAUUAAUAAAUCCAGAUGCUUACCAGAUCACCAACAACUGGUGAUGCGUUGAUACCAGAAAUUCCUUCCCUUGUUCGCCGUUGCGGCGUCCCGUGCUCGCCGCCACCCGCAUGAGAUCCCGAUGAGGGUGAGGAAAUAGAUGCAGAGGCAUCACAUAUUUUCUUAGAGCGCCUUCCUACAACAUCAACUUCCCUGUCAUGGAGAAAAUUCAAGGGUCAGGAGAAAGAACCCAAAUAUAACAGAGGUAUAACUAGUUAUUUAUUACAAAUUAUGGUAUAUAUGCCCUUACAAGUACACACUAAGGCAAAUAAGUGAGCACAUGAAUUAUUCCCAUUGUGAGAUGCAUAUAUAGGAUUAAAAGAGAGAGCAAUGAAGCUGCCCAGCCGCCCGCAAAAUGUUGUUCGAGUAGAACAAAUUAUUGCCAAGGAACAAACGAGCAGUUUACUUUUCCAUUGGAUAGUAACAACCGUCCUACCAUAAUAUAAAUCUCGCUCUUCCCUGCGGAACAGGCUCACAAUAACAUACGUAUUGUCUUUGGUAUGGAAGAGAAUUUAAUUGUUCAGAGUUCCCAGAUCUCCUUAUGUACAGUACAGACCGUCUCCAAUAACAAUUUCAUGCGACAAUUGACGUUACGUCUGCGACCAGGAAGGUGGACUUCACCUUCCUGGUAUAUAUAUCUACGUGUUUCGCUGUAUAUACCUACUAGCUGCGCUGAUCAUGCAUCCUGAUUACGAGUACUGACCUCUUAGUAUAUAUCUACGUGUUUCGCAAAUUCUGCAAUCUAAUUAAGAACUUAUAAAGCUAGUCUGAAUUGAUCGAGACAUGAUAAACCAGUUAAUCAAGAGUUACAUGUUGCAUCCGUACGUGCGACUGAAUUUUGGCAGGUUAAUCGGUGCAAAUUAAGAGGGUGGAAUGGAAGCAUCUAUCUAAGCACGUAUACAUGCGUAUCUAUGGAUAUAGCAAGUAUAGCAAUGGUGUCGCGUUAGCAUAUAUGCAAGUGGGUUGGCGCCGGGCGUACCAGGACGCCGUAGGCGAAGCCCUCGAUGACGUUCUCAACGACGGUGACGGCGGCGAGCUCGACCUCGCCGAUGUGGCCCACGAAGCCGACGGUGACGAAGCCGAUGGAGAACUGGAAGACGGCGGUGAGGAUGGCCGGGAACGCGAUGUCCCACAGCAGUCUCGACUCCUGCCAGCUCUUGCCCACCAUCUUCCCCAUCAACAACUACCUGAUCGAUCCGGCCGCCAAGGCACAAAUAUUUGGAUUCAGUUAACAAAGGCACAAAUAUUACCAUCUGGAUGCCAAGGAUGCUCCUGGACGUGGGGUCGUCAUAGACGAGCAGCAGCACCCUGACGCCCUCCUACGACUUCUUCUUGAGCAGGUCGCCUAGUGGUCGCGCCUUGUCGCCGUCGCGCACCAGGUGGAUCGUGUGGAACACCGACCAGCCGGUGAUGUAGAUGAGCUUCGUCGCCUGCGACAUGGCGUCUUAGACCCAUGCAAGUACAACUCGCCGUUCCCGAGUCGGAUCUCCGACAGGCACUGCCCGUCGCCGGGCACGUGCGCGUCCUGGUACAGCGUGACCCGCCCGCCGCGCCGGAGCGGGAAGUAGGUGUUGGGCACGCCGGGGAAGUCGGGGCCCGGCGUCACGCCAUGGAUGUACAUGGUGAGCCUGGCCACGGGCACGUACUGCACCGACAUCCGCAGCGUGGCGCCCGGCGCACACGGCUUCCCGGACGGCUCCAGCACCGGUUUUGGCCCCCGAGCCGAUGACGACCCGCGGCGGUAGCAGGAAGUCGAGGUCGCCCCCGUCGUCCUCCUCGAGCUCCCCCCACCGGAUCUUGGCGUCUGCCGGCAUGGCUAGGGUUCGGGGUGCGGCGGUGUGGGGGCGAGGAGACGGGCGCUCUGGUUUGGUUGUGGAAUGGGGAUGUGGUUGGGGCGCUAGGGUUCGGGGUGGCGGCUGCGUGAGGGAGAAGGGACGAGAGGAUAGGGCUACGUGGGUGAGAGGGGGUGGGAUUGAUGGCUGCCGUUGGAUCUCGGAGCAUCCAACAGUGUUUGCUGCAUGAUCUGUGGGAAGGGUAGUUCUGCGUUUUGAUUGGUCUGAGAUAUGUAACACUAAAAAAAAUAUUGAAGUGUUAAAAAUAUGUGUGUUUGUGAAGCCACUAUCAAGAGUGUAUUGUAAAAUGAUGUCACUAAAAUUUCCACUCAAGGUAUAUCAUAUUUCAUGGAUUAUCACCGCAUAAGAUGAGGUGGGAUAGAAUGGACCCACGAGUGACAUGUCAACAUAGUUAGAACAUGUUACGCCAUUUUUAUAAUCAUCGUAAAAGUUAUGACGAUCUCAUCUUAUGAGGUUAUGACGUUUUUGACUCACAUCGUCAUAAUUUAUAUGUAGAUUUGAUCCCCUCAAACGGUUUACGACAAUAUCGGAUGAAAUCGUCAUAGAUUUAUGACGAAUUCAUCAACGACGUCUUAAAAAACGUCAUGUAUGAGCAUAUUUCUUGUAGUGCAUGGACAUAUCUACCCUUGAUGAGCAACAAAAUAAGUACGUCAAGCUUGCCCGAGAAGACGUCUUGAUCCAAAAACGAGGCAUGGCCAUUGGAGGCAUGAGAUCUACUAUGAGAGGCAUGUGUAGCAUGGGAGACAAGAGUGACUUCGAAGCUACCAAGGGCGUCAUGGGAGGCAUGUGUGUCUUCGGAGCUACCAGGGGGCAUGGGAGGCAUGAGUUUUGCGUCUCUCAUGGAAGGCAUGGAAGCACCUUCGGGUGGACACAUGUCUUCCGGUGUGCCUUCUCACAUACCUUCGCAUGAUGCUAUUGGAGAUCUUGUCAACACCUACCGAACUUCACAUGAUGAUGCGACACGCGUCAAUAAAGACAAGGAGGAGGAAGAAUCGUCUACGAAUGAGGAUGAAGAAACGAAGGAAGAGGAGGACGAAGAUGACGAGGUAUGAUUGUUGAUGUGCUAUUUCUUUGUCAGAACUUUUUUUAUGUCAUGAACUUGGUUGGUUGAUGUGGCAUCACGGUCGGGCCGGCAAAAUUCGGGGCCCUGUGCAAAUUCUAAAACAGGGCCCUAUCUCAUACGGAAAAAAUGAUGAAACAAAUAAUUCUAGUUUAUAGAAAAAUGAUAUUUUACUCCUUCUCUAAUGAAACAUAGGAUUGUUUUUAGUGAUCUAAACGCUUUUAUAUUAUUUUAUAGAGGGAGUGCAUAACAAUUGAAUAUACCGAGAAUCUUACCUAUGUAACUCUAAAUUGCAUAAUGUUUAUUCAAACAUCAUCAUUCUUUCUGUGUUCUUUGAAAAUGGAACCUUUAAUAUAUCCCCAUGAUGACUUAAAUAUGUAUUCUUAAAACACAAGAUACACACAUGAAUAAAAUAAAAUUGGACUAUUUGAGAUUAACAAACUUGCUAAAUUGUUUCAAUCUUUGAAAAUAAGAUAAACAGUCUAACUCCACUAGUUCAUACAGAGAUUGUCGAUUGAGUUGACGAGAACCAAUUAUCCAUGCCGAAAUCGCCAUGUCACUCUUGCCGGUGCUGACCAUUGGAACUUGCAUGGCAUGCGUUUUUUCACCCGAAAUCGGGAGGCAUGGAUGGGAAUCGUUGGUCACUAGCGUCAUGGAAUAUUUCCACUCAAGUCUGGACUGGAUUUGGAAUUGUUGGCACCUCGUGUCAGUGAAUAGUAGGCGAAGGGCGAUGCGUUCACCGGUUCACGCGAGCGAGCGACGCAUACACUAUAGGGAUCACAACCCGCGAGGGUUUACGGUUUAGGGAUCGCGACGCGUUCACCAAUUCGCAAGCGAUGCGCCCAGCAGGAUAUCCUCAAAGGUAGUAUCAGGUACAUAUCGUAUAUAAGCUAAUAUAAUAUUUGGGGGCCCUUCAAAUUGGUGGGCCCUUUGCUGGCCGCACAAUAUCUACAACUCUAGCCCCGGCCAUGUGUGACAUGAUUGUUGAUGUGCCGUGGGAUCAAACUAUGUUAUAUCUUUUUUUUAUGUUUGAAAUGUUUAUAUUGUCUUUAAUAAAACAAACAAGUUUCAAGCGUCGGCUGUUCGCGCGCUGAUUAUAGCGCGUCCGAUGGAACGGCUCACGCGCGCCAUAUUUUGCCGUCGUCGCUGGAGCCAGCGCACUCUGGCAUGCUAUUUUUUUUAUUUCAACACUGUAAAAUAAUUUUUGCGCCCUGCUGAAAAUACUGUAAGAGAAAAAAAUUACACUACAACAACAGGUCACGAUUGCAGUGCACGUCUCCAAGGCGGCCUGUUUUCCCGGCGAGAGGGACAUCCCGACCCACCUCUCCGCCAUGGGCACAUUUCGUGCAAGUCGAGCAAAGCACGUUUUGCACGCGGCUGACACAAUCCGUGAAGGUGACAAUGGAUCCCGAGGCUAUUUUUUGCCCGUUGUGAGGCGUAGUUUUCUGUGAGCCUCUCGCGCGGCGCUACUCGGCCAACCCAGUACUGUACCUACACACAAGCUUACAUUUAUUAUCAUUUUGCCUUUUUGUAUCGCUAUUUUUGUUUUCUUCGAUUUUUUCCUUUUCUCCUCGAUUUUCACCUGUUGCUUUUAGUUUGUANNNNNNNNNNNNNNNNNNNNNNNNNNNNNNNNNNNNNNNNNNNNNNUUUUUUUUUUUUUCCCCCCCCCCCCCCCCCCCCAUUUAAAAGCAUCUACGUUUUUCGUAUACAUCAUGGAUAUCUGUAAAAUAUGUGUAUUACUUUCCAAAUACAUGGUUAAAAAUAUUUUUUAGUAUUUUUAAUACGUUUUAAACAUUUUUUAAGUAUACUUAAAAUUUUGGUGGAUUAUACAAACAUAUUUUCGCAUUGGAUAAACAUUUUCUUAAAGGGGUCAAUUUGAUAAAUACCACUAAAAUUCUGGCAAUUUUGGGAAAUGCCAUUGCAAUUUUUAAAUUUUGAAAAAUGCCAUUUCCAGUGACUCUUUUCAAAGUUUGCAGUGGUGUUUUUUAAAAUUUGCAAAAUUUGCAGGGAACUUUUCAAAGUUUUCUUAGUCGUCAGAAUUCAAGUGGCAUUUAUCCAAUUAAUAUAUAUUUUCAUUGAAAUAUCCGAACAUUUCUAAAAUGUCAAAAAAAUAAUUUAUCUUAUCAGGUUUUCUUUUUAAACUAUGCUAACAAUGUUCUUAUAAUGUGUUAAAAAAACUCAAAUUGACAGCUUUCGAAAUAAGAUAAUUAAAAUCAAUUUUUGAAAUAUAUGUAUUUAUAAUGUUUUUAAAAAUAGGAACAAAGGAGAAAAAAUAUGAAUGAAAAGUUAGAAGAAAAACAAACUAACCUGCAGGAAGCUACUUGGGACGGUCCAUUAAUAGCUUCAACGCCUAAGAGAAGACGAGCAUGUUUAGCGAGACACACAGCGGCUCCCGAAGUGAAACAUCGGGCCGGUGUUUUUUCCUGGCCCAACGCAACACCCCGCAACACCCCUUCUCUCCGUCUACUGGAAGGCCCAUGAAAGUCAUUUCAGAUAUACGGCCCAAUCAAUAGGUGUACUCCCAUAAACAAAACUCACACCGUAGUACGAACUCUCAGAAAUGAAAAACCACAUCAGAUCUUGUUUGAUAUAAUCUGUAUCAAAGAGGAACAUAAAAUUACACCGUGCUGCUCGCAUCGAAGGGAAGCCUCUCGACCUGGCAAAAGCAGAUCAUGGUGUGCGCCACGACAGCCAUGGUAGAGUUAGCCGAGUCAAAUAACAAGCUACGAUGAAGCCGAGUUAAUUAGGUAGGCGCAAGUGCUACCACACGCUGGCGCUGAUGAAUUCCACACGCACGCACGACAGUUUAGCGUUCCUGCAGAUGAUGAUGACGCCAAUUAGUAGGUAGGCUUGCCUAAAAGCUCUGAAUAAUUCGUGCUGCGCGUGGAGUACAUUUAUCUUCUUCCGUGGCCAAAAAAGCAGAAGCGUGGGCGCCAAGGAGCUAGCGCCGACCGGGAAUCGAUUUCGGCCUCGAGCAAGUGAUUCUUCUUUCCCUCGGGACCUACGGGCGCACCCAUCGACACAGUGCCGGGUCCCUCGAGAGAACAAAAUAAUACUCAAGUCUCAGGUCAGCGGUAGCCCAGAAGCCGGAACAAAGAUGGUGGCGGGAGCACUGACUUGUAGUACUCGUACAACCCUAAGAGCAUCUGUAGUAGAGUCCUCAAAUCCUCAAAUCCUUAAAAAUAACCGUUUUUUUUACAGUUUUUGUUGAAAAAACGGCGUAAAUUAGAACCCUUAAACCUGAAAAAAAAAAUAGAGGUCCAACUCUCAAACCCUCUCCUGACCUGUAGAAGUGAGGGUUGGGAAGCAAAAUCUACUCCAACCCUUAAACCGUUCCAUCCUAGCGCGGGAGGGAAAUUUCCCAUCCCAACUACCUCCCGCGCCCACGUCGGCCGCCUCUCCGACCGCCGCUGCCGCCGUCCCGCCUCCGGACGCCUCCCCUCCACCUCCAGAGACGCAGCCGUUGUCUCGCCACCCCCCCCCGUCACCGCCUCAACCUCCCCGGCCGUCGCCGCUGCCUCCUCGACCUCCGCCGCUGUCGCCCGCCUCGGCCUCCCAGCCGCCGUCUCCGCCUCCCGCCCGCCUCGACCUCCCGAGCCGCCGUUCGCCUCGGCCUCCCCGUCCGCCUCCGCCUCGACCUCCCCGGCCGCCUCCGCCACCCCCCGCGCCCUCCGCCUCCCGCAGCAAGAGGCCGCCCGAGCUCUCCCCGUCGAUCCGCGAGAAUAUUCCGUUAUAAGGGUUGGGUUUGAGGGUUCUAGUAUUUGUCCCUAUUUUUCAACCCUUAAAAGUGUCAAAAAUGGCCAAUUCUCAACCCUUAAAACUGGUUUUAGAUUUAAGAGUUUGAGGGUUCUACUAGAGAUGCUCUAAUAACACCAGCGCGAGCAAAUGGGUCAGCAAAAGCAGUGCACCCCAAAGGGAAGUUGAAAGGAAUUCCAAGUUGAAAUAAAACGUGUGGAAACUUCGCACGCAUCAUCUUCUGUGUCAUUCCUUCUCGGCUUCCUCCUCCCAUCGUCGGGACGACCCGCCCUUUGACGCCGAUAGCUGCCACACAUUGCCGAUCGAUCCCUUCAAAACGUCUAGAUUAAGGCUGACCAUAGUGGAAGUAACUAAGGUAGUAUUAUGUACUUGAAACUAGCAAACAUGCUGGUGUGACACACAAUUAAAAAAAGGAUCGAAGUAACAUAGGUAGAUACCGUAACAUGUUAAAUGUUAUGCUACUAUGUGUCAUGCAUGUCAAUAAAUAAGAUCAUAUAUGAUACUACUUUAUGAUAUUAUGCACUAUAAAGAUAAUAUCAUAUGCAUGAUGCUAUUAUAUGAUACUCCCCACUAUGACCAUCCUAAGCGGGUCUGAAUCAUCACCGCCCUGGAUGGAUAUAUUCUUUAGGCUGGUUGUAAUGAGUAGUAUCAUAUACUAGUAUCAUGCAUAUGAUACUAGUGUAUGAUACCACAUCCGUAAUGUAUAGUACUACUAUCAUAUGUUACUAUCACAGGGUAGUUCAUUUAUUGCCAUGCAAGACACAUAGUAGCACAUCAUUUAAUAUGAUACGGUAUCAUAAUAUGAUACUCAACCCUCUUUUUCUUCAUUUAAUUCGAUGCCACCUCAUCGAAAUUGCUUAGUUGUCAUGCAUGAUACUCCCUCCGUUCUUAAAUAUAAGAUCUUUUAGAUAUUGCACUAUGAACUACAAACGGAUGUAUAUAGACAUAUUUUAGAAUGUAGAUUCACUCAUUUUGCUUCGUACGUAGUCUUUUAGUGUAAUCUUUAAAAGGUCUUAUAUUUUGAAUCGGAUGGAGUACUACCUAUGAUACUAUUACGGACAGCCUUAGACAACUUUCUCUCGCAAAACAUGUAGCAGUACUACUACUUCCGUACCACGUGUGCAUCCAUUAGCAAGUUGUGAGGUCAGCAGGCAGCUAGCGUAGCCUUUGAAUCUGAUGAAGCGAAGGUCAGACCUCAUAGGUAGCCAGCCGCACCAACAAAUUAACAAAAGAUGUGGUGCGGCGCAUUGACUUGAUGCUACCAGCACAACUCUGCCACGAGCAAUAAAGAUGAUGGCGCUCUUGAUCGAUCUAUUCUCGGAAUGGAGGCUGUCAGUCUCAGUGGAGCACAGUAGCACUAGCAACACUAUUGCUGAUAGACUCUAAAGAAAAAAGAGGUAAUAUCACCCCAAGUCCUAGCAUGUGAUGGUUUGGUCCUACAACUUGUAAAGUGCACCUAUUUGGUCCUAGAACUUGUAAGUGUGGUGCAUUUUUAGUCCACAACCAUUCACAGCGCGCCAAGUGGAUAGGGUGGGUCAGGUUUGGUCAUUUUGCGUCCAGGCCCUUGCAUUUACCUGUCAUUAAUCGGGUGUUGUCGGCAGCACACACCUGAGAAAACACCUGCAUUUAAUAACCCUAUGCUUACUUACUCCUCCUCCUCUUUGCUUACCCCCAAGCUAGAGACAGAAGCUCAGCAGCUCCCGUCGCCCCGCCCCUCUCUGUUUAUCUUCUCCCCCAGCCUCUCAGUGUUGUUCUUCAAUAAGGUCCACGCGUGCAGCAAUGGUGUCCUGGAGCGAGGGAUCCUACUCCUCCUCCUCCUCUGACAGCGACGUCAGCAGCCCGGUUAGCUUAUCUUCUUCUUCUUUUCCUCCUCCUGCAUUUAGGGUUUGCACACAUUUGGGAUUUCCUCACUAGUUAUUAUUUUAGGCUCCUCCAGCCAUUUUGUGCGUGGAAUGGAGAGGUCUAGCUGCAGAUCUAAGUGCUAGAUGUGAACAUGAAUCCAUAUGUGAAAAAUAUGUUGCCUUUCAGUCAGUGGAUAGUGGCAGAAGAUUCUUAGGUUGUGCACAAAAUGUUAGUGGAUUAUCAGAUCUACACAUUUUCUAUAUUAUGGUUUAUGUAGCUCUGAUGUACAGGUUUUGCACAAAGUGUUUUUGUCUGUCUUAGUAAUGUUCAAAAGUUGUUAUUUCUAAAUAUGUGUUGCUGACAUACCAAAAUGGGUAGUUAUUGAUAUAACAAAAUUGGUAGUUAUUCAGAUAACAUAAUGUUUAUUAUUCAGAUACCAUAAUGUGUAUUAUUCAUAUAACAUAAUGUUUAUUAUUUAGAUAACAGAAUGUUUAAUUCAGAUAAGCACUUAUUAAAAUAACUGAAAUGUCUUUCUUUUUUGUAUUUCUAGGAAGGACCUAAAUGUGGCUAUGUGGAGUGGGUUGACCCAGAGUGGCCUCCUCAGUUGAAGACUACACUGGGUAGGCUGUGGGACAUGUAUGAAGAUGAGAACAAGCUUAGGCUUUCUGAUAAUCUUGCUAAUGCAGAAGGAAAUUUUAAGGUGCUGAAAGAGAAGGAGAAGAUGGAAAAGGAUCUAAGGUUUUUCAAGCUUGAUUUUGCUAAGAUGGUAGCUGACAAAGAGCAGGCAUUGGCUGAGUUAGGAAACACAAAAAUUGCUCUUACUGACCGAAAGAAAGAGUUACAGAAGAAGAGCAUUUCAGACAAAUCUGCCACAAAUAUUUAUCAGGUAUUUUGGGCUAAGGCAGAGAAAGACCUUGAGCUCAUGAAGAAAGAGCUUAAGCUCAUGAAGCAGGAGAGGGAAAAAACAAUGAAAGAUAGUGAUGAGGUUAUGCAAGAGAUGGAGAAAGUGAUGCAAGGGAGGGAUGCGUUGAAAAAAGACAAAAAUAAAUUAGAGUACAUGACUGGUGACCUAUUCAACCAUAAGGAAGAGACAAAAUCAAAGAUAAGGAAGGUCAGGGAGAUAUUAGAUGGAUUUGAGUGAUGAAUGGAUGUAUUAUUUGUUGAGACCUUAGUAAUGUUGGCUUAUUUGGUGAACUUAUAUAUUGUAACCUGUCUCAUUUGCUGAAUUCUUAGGCUUUAUGUUUAUCCAGAAGACUCAUUUGUCAUUUGCAGUGAACUGAAUCUGCUUUUGCUUAACUACAAAUGUUGUUAGUGAUUUAGUUUUGAACCUAACUCCACAUCUCUGGUGGACCACAUUUUGCUCAUUCUAGUAAGUGGACCACAUUUCUACUUGAGGCAUGUUGCUACUUAGCCAACCAAUAUUUCUAGCUUAUAUGCUUUGAUAUACCAGCAUACCUUAAUAGCAAGAACAAGCAAUGCAUUGCUACUUAUAUCCAUAGCAGCAACAAGCAAUGCAUACACAUAGACAAUGAAACAAGAGUAGCCAACCAUUGCUACUUAUAUCCAUAGCAAUAACCUUAACAGUGAGUCCAAAAGAUUUCUAACUUAUAUGUUGUCAUAUAUAUCAGCAUACCUAAACUAGAGAUCACCCAAUAUUUGUAACUUAUGUGUUGUCAUAUAUAUCAGCACACCUAACCUACAGAUAACUCCAUAUUUCUAACUUAUAUGCUUUGAUAUACCAACAUACCUAACAUCCAAAGCAUCUUCUUCUUCUUCAGUCUUGGGCAUCUUCUUCUUCACUCCUGCAUCUUCUUGAGACGCUCGGAGCGGCGCACUAUGACAGGGAUGGGGAUCUUGCACUUCUUCUCUGACAGUUCUUCCUCUUCAUCCUGAAGUUCUUUCUUCACAGUGACACCAACUGCCUCCAGAUCUCCAACAUCCGGCAGCUUCUCCACAUCAAUAGGGAUCUCUUUGUCCCCCUCGACAGCGGCGACCACCGCCACAACCAUCUCCACCUCUACCUCUUCCUCAUCGUCAAAGAGGUCGACGAAGUCGUCAGAUGACUCGUCAUCCGAGACGUGCUCGUCGUCAGAGUCGUCUGACGGCCCCAACAGGAUUUCGGGAUGCAGGCGCUCCUAGUAGGUGUUGUUGACAGGCGCUGCGAGAGCAACGACGACGUCGGAGACGUGCUCUGCCCUGGAAGCAACACGAUGAAUAUCCGGCAGCGGCGGCAUGGUGGAUGAGCGGUACAUCCACCAGCGGCCCCGCUGGAGGGGGUCGUUCGAGGUCGUCGCCUCCCGCAUUGCCCAGAGGAGGACGGUAGCGGCUGGGAUGCUCUGGCCGCCGGUGAAUGCACGGAGCUUCUCAGCCUCCGUCAUCACCUUCACAAGGCCGGGGGCAUGGUUCCUCAUCAUCUGCACAGGAUGGGAACCAGCGCGCGAUCUCCCGAUACUGCUCACGUAUCUGCACGUGGUUGCCGGCAAGGUCUUCGAUUGCCUUCUGCCAGCCAAGACUUUGCUCCAUGGAGACGGCGGCGAUGUCUGGUGGCGGUGGCGGUGCUUUCGGUGGUGGAUAGGACAGGAGGGUAAUGGGGAUUGGACAGUGUUAGCGGUGGUAAUAAAUACAGGAGGGUGUUAGUGGUAGUUGGGAUUCGACAGACGAAACGGCCACACACGGCUUGAUAACUACAACAUAAAGCAGUAUCCUAACAAAUCACUACUCCUAUUCUACUCGCAUUGCACACUCUCUUGCAAACUACAGGUCCUGGGUUCAAGCCCCAGGCAUCACAUUUUUUUAUUUCACUUUUUUUCAAUUACACAAAUCAGUACUCCUAUUCUACUGGCAGUGCACACUCUCAAUUCUAUUUGUUCCUAUUUUUUGCAGCACACUAAGACCAGCAUUCCAACUUUUUCUCAACAAAUUAAAACCAUCAUUCCAACUUUUUCUCAACGCAUUAAAACCAUCAUUCCAACUUUUUCAACCACACUAACAUGUUCUUGUUUACAUCAUACUAGGGCAUCCAAAAGACAUGUCUUAAAUCCGUUAGGUUACAUCAUACUGGUUACAUCUUACACUAGGGCUUGCAUUAAGGAACAACAUUAAGAUCACGGAUGUUGCUAUCAUCUCCAAAGAGGAGCCAGUAUGCCCCUCUUCCCCUUCCAGUUGUUGUUCCUCAUGAAAAUGCUCCUCUUCCUCUGCUUCCUAUUGGAUUAACUAGCCCUGCACCAGCUCCUCUUGCCCUGCCUGAACCUGCACCUGCACCAACUCCUCUUGCCCUGCCUGCUACUGCACCACCUCCUCUUGCUCUACCUCCACCUGCAGCAGCUCCUCUUGCCCUUCUCCUUGCUCUUGCAGUAGGUUGAGAUGUUUGACCUAUAUCAAGUUCUCUGGUUGCCCUGGUCAGCCUGGCAGUACUCAUUUCUGUAGUCACCCUAGGCUGGGGUAUUGCAGCCCCAGCAGAAGCAACAAAAGAUGAUUGCUCUGGUAGUGGACCAUGAACCCUAUUAGGAGGCCUUCUAGCAAGCUCCCUCUGAGCCAUGUUGUACACCAUACUUGUUGGUGAUUUAAUUGGAUCCAAAAGAGGAUCUGCCUGGUUUGGGUAGAUGUUUUGCAAAUAUGAAGUGCAAGUUACAUGUUCAGUUUCAGUCCAGUAUGAAGUGCAAGUUACAUGUUCAGCUUAAGUUUAAUAUACCUGUAAGAAUGAUGGGUCAUCAUAAUGUUCAUCAACAACCUCCACUCCCACUUCAAUGGGAGCUUCUUGCCAUUUAUAGUGCCCCUUCCUGUUAUGAUCUGCUCUGCCACAAAUUGAGCAGUGCAUUGAAACACCCUUCCUGUUCAACACUUAUUCACCAUGUUUAAUCUUCUCCUCUGGUGUCUUCUUCCUGUUCUUCUUGGGCCUUCCCAACUGUUUAGUAAACACUGGUGGAUGCACUUUGUAAGCAUUCUGUAUUUGCCAAUCCUUUGGGUCUGCAAGAGGGAAAAGAGUGUAUCCAUAUGCCUUCAGAUAUGUUUGAACUGUAUAGCAAUCAUGAACCAUUGUCUCUGGGUCAAUCCUCUCCUCUCUGCAACAAGCUAUGGAAUGGCCACAUGGUACCCCAGACAACUGCCAUCUCAUGCAUUCACAUGUGUGCUUGCAAAGAUCAACUGUGUAGCUAGAGUUACCAGACUGAACUCUGAAGAUUUGUUGGCCAGCUUCUCAUACAUGACAUUUUGCAGCAAACUCGGUAUUUUUCUCUAAUUUCUUCCUUAUCUUUGGGCAUAUUCUAUGCCCUGUCCACUUUUCUAUAGCUUCUCUUUGUUUAAUCACUAUCCUAUGCAUGAUCUUGUAGAAGAUAUAUUCAAGCAUACUAAGAACUGCCAUCUCUCUGUCAUCAAGAAUGUAACUGUUAAACACUUCAGAGUUAUUGUUCAACAGAAUAUCACAUUUGGGAAAUGUACUGAAAAAUGCCUUGCACCAGGUCUUUGCCUCAAGUCUUUCAGUCCAAUGGAAGGCAGCUGAGGAGUGAUCAUCCAUUUUCUGACAGUUCUCUCUGCACUUCACCUUGUUUGGUGAUCUUACAAUGGCCCACAAAUCUUGCUUCAGUACCUCUCCUUUGUGCUUCUCAUUAAAAUUUUGAUAAAUAUGCCUCACACAAAACCUGUGUUCUGAAUCUGGCCAAACUUUGUGCACUGCAUUGAUUAAUCCUUUCUGCUUAUCACUCAUUACUGUGAAAGGAGCAGUGUUGGUGAUGUUCGGAUCAUCUCUUAGAGUUGUCAGGAACCACUCCCAAGAACCAGUGCAUUCUACUUCCACCCAACCCAUUGCAAUGGGGAAAAUGCAGUCAUUUGGAUCAAUUCCAACAACACUAAGAAGCACUCCCUUGAAUCUUGUUUUCAUGUGACAACCAUCAAUAAAUACAAUGGGUCUACAACCUUCUAGCCACCCUCUCUUACAUGCAUCAUAUGACCAGUCAUUGUUUUCAAAAUUUCCUACCCAAUGGAAAUUUUGUAUCUUUUACCAGUGUAGUUGUGANNNNNNNNNNNNNNNNNNNNNNNNNNNNNNNNNNNNNNNGCAGGAAUGUAGAGCCAGGGUUUUUGCUCCUUAACUCAUGGCCAUAAUCCCAUAGCCUACUAAAUUGUUCUUCCUCAUCACCAUGGAUCUGCUUAAGUGCUUCUGUUCUAGGCCUAGCUAACUUCCAUCUGUUAGGACUAACAUUAAACUCCUUAGUUAUUUUCCUUGCAAAUGUUCCAAGUGACAUCUUCUGGUCAUCUCUGAAUUCUUCAAUGAAUGUCUUGCACAAGAAUUUAGCUGUCAAAUCCUUUAAAUUCCAUUUCUUUUGACACAAAUGCAAUGGAUUGAAUGCCUUGAUCACAAAUCCUCCAGUCCCGUUAUCAUUUCCAGCCUUGAGCAUCCAUGGGCACCCUGCGUGACAAAUUGCCUCUAACCUUAUCUUGUCAUUCUUCACCUUCUUAAUUUGCACUCUGUUUCUUAUUGCAUAGGCAGUUAGAGCUUUCCUCAUCUCAACCACAUCAGCAAAUACCAUACCCAAAGUGAAAACAGGGCAUUUCAUGUCCACCUUUGAAUUGAAAGUUGUGAACUUGUACUUAAGUUUUUGUUGUUGUUCAAUGGAGAGGUUCAGAUCUUCAUCUUCAAGUAAAUACUCAGGCUCAACAUCUUCCACCUCUGGCUCAGCUUCUUCAUCAACAUCAUAGUCAAUGUUGUCUUCAUACAUAUCAUCAUCUCCAUCAUGAAUGUCACAAUCACUAUCACUGAUAUCUGAGUCUUCCAACAACACAACAUCAGUCAGCAAGUUAGGCUGGGCAACAUCAUUCAGAAAGUUUGACUCUGCACCAUCAUUCUGCAAAUUUGAGUCUGCAGCAGCAUCAUUUUGCAAGUUUGAGUCUGCAGCACCAUCAUUCAGCAAAUUUGGCUCUGCACCAUCAGUAAGCACAUGUGUGUGUACAACAUCAGUAAAAAGAUUUGCAGCAUCACUAAGCAAAUUGUCUGGUUCUGUGCUAUCUUCUGCAACCUCUGAAGUUGGUUUCUCAACAUUCAAGCAGAUGAUGUUGCCUGAAUUGCUUGCAUCAACAGAACAGUUGGCCUCUCUAACAGGGCUUUGAAAUGAUGUCUCCUUCAAUAUCAAAUCUCCCCUGAAAUUACUCAUGAAGUCUGAAUGGUCAACCAUUAUUAGAAGCACUUUAUGAUUAACACUAGCUCUGAUCACUUGCUGCAGAUCCUCAUCAUCUUUAAUUCUUACCAGGCCAUCAAAUAUUGUCUUGUCAGGCAAACACCAGUAGAUGAUGUGCUGAUUCUUAGGAUAUCCCAACCAGUUUAUGUGAUGUUCUAAUACUUCAUAACUAAAUGUGGCAGGAUCUAAAUAGUCCAGCACCUCC
Molecule: long non-coding RNA, 61675 nt
Filed under: Hordeum vulgare
Lineage: Eukaryota; Viridiplantae; Streptophyta; Magnoliopsida; Poales; Poaceae
Description: long non-coding RNA (HVUL_LNC013656)
Source: RNAcentral